UAAAUAAAAGAGGAAAAUAUAUGCUCACCAUACAGUAAUAAAAUGAUGUAUUUUCCUCUGUAUUUUAAUAUUUUAAAAUAAAUAUUAUCAUGCUAAAAUACUUUUGUAAAGGAUUUUGAAGUUAAAGACAAAAUGGACAUUUCAACCACAUUUAUGAUAAUUAAAUAUAGGGAUAUUAAGAGUAUAUUUGAAAGAUAGUAAGUAUUUGUAGGGAUAUUAAUUUGUGAUAUAAUUAAAUUUAUAGUGGUAUCUAUGAUAUUUUUGAAGUUUAGAGAGGCACGAAUGAAAUUGACCCAAAAUAAUAUUUGCCAUCUUGAGAACAAGAGACAUUCUGGUAUAAGUUAGAACAAUAAUAAAUUUGUAUUUGGAUGUAUUUCGAGGGUAAAACUGUACGUAGACCCCAACACUUUGAAGAGAUCUGUUAAUUUGAGACUUAAAAAAAUAGAUAAAUAAUUUAAAUUAAAAAAUCUUUUAUAUUUUUAAUACUCUCAAAAUUGAUAGUUUAUUGAUUUUUUUUUUUUUCAAUUUAUAUACUUUGUUGCAUAACUUAUAACUAACUUAAUCUGCAAACUUAUUUUUGCUAAGCUUUAUAAUUGAAUUCAACAGUAAUUCUAAAUAGCUGGAUCCAUUUAACGCAAUUAUGGCAAAGUGCAGUACUAAUUAAUUAUUAUCUUUUUACGUAGAGUGUUCACGAGAUAUGAGAUAAAAUACAAAGGAUCUUUUUGUUAAAAUAAGUCUUUAUUUCACUGUAAUGCCCUAUUUAGAUACAUAAUAAAAAAGUUCCAUGGAGUUUAUAUUCUGUAAUUUUGGUUUGAAUGAAACAGAAAAUUCGGUAACUAUAAAAAAUUUUCAUAGCUUUGAUUUUAAACUGUUUGGAUACAUAUCAUAUAAUUUCAGAAAAACUCUAACAAUUAAAAUUUUAUGUAAAUUUAAAAUUUAAAAUUUAAAGUUUAAAAUUUAAAAAUUAACUAUUUUUGAUGACUCGUUUCCAGUUUGGAACUUUGUGUGUAUAGUGAAUUUGAUGGCUUUAUUUGCACAAUAAGAAAAUUGAAUUUGAUUUGAAUUUAGAAUAUACUAUUUUGAUUUGAAGUUAAAUAAUAUAAAAUAAUUGUUUUUCUUCAAAAUCUUCAACUACCAUAUAUUAGGAUUUUUAAUAUUAAUAUUCAACAAUCUCAAUUACCUAUUUGCACAAAAAAAAAAAAUUCCUUUAUCUCAUAAAGGCCGGCGCUGGCUACAGCGACAGAGGAGGAGGAGAGCGAGGGGCUCUUUGUUUAGAGUUUCAGUAGAUUAAGUAAGGGAAGAAGGGGAGAUGGUGAUCAAUUUUUCUUUUUUCUUUUUCUGUUUGUAUUUAGGUCGAAUAGGGUGGAUGGAAUGAGUUGAAUAGAGUAACAUUUUAUUUUUGGUUAGAGUGGACUUUAUAUUUAGGCCUUUGUAGUUUUUUUAAAAAAAUUUUGUAUAAAUGGAACACUUACAUAAAAAUAUCCAAAAAAUAUGUUUAUAUAACUAAUUCUAUUUUAGUGGCAAAGAAAAAAUUAGAAUAAUUAUUAAAGCUAAUUUUAAAUUGAAUAAAGGAAAUAAUAGAAUACAUAAGGGUGUAUUUGGUUCCGAAUAAAAUCAUCCUGUAACGAUCCAGCCCACUAGCAACAAUAACUCGUUGGGCCCAACAACCGGCCAAAAUGCUUAAGCUCAGUUACCGUUAAGGCCCUGACGUCCUCGUCAGUCCAAUCACACACACACAGUCCAAGAUCACCAAGCGAUGUGAGACUCGUCUCGCUAGCCCGUCAUCCAGACCCUGGCUCAGCCGAGACUCGCCACACAUGUCCAGCUGGUGAACCGGCUCUGAUACCAAAUGUAACGACCCAGCCCACUAGCAACAAUAACUCGUUGGGCCCAACAACCGGCCCAAAAUGCUUAAGCCCAGUUAUUAUUACUAGUGUCUAAGUCUCUUAUAAACCCAAUGACAACCCCAUUUCCAUCCGAUGUGGGAUUAUUGGGGUGUCACACACCCCGAAAUUUUUUUCAUUUGAAAAGUCAAAUUCCCGUGUUUCAUUACUCGUAAAAAUAUUUUCUCGAAUUCUUUUUUACAUAUUAUAAAGAGAAUGAGGGUUUUUGUUUCCCCUUGCUUUGAGAGGAAACACGCGGCGUUGAGCAUGCGCAACAAAAGCACACAGUUCACGAGGUCUGCUCCACCUAGUGGACCGUGUGAGAAAGGUUCACGGUGGACUUAUUUCUCUCAUUUAUAUAUACUAGUUGAGUGUACGUACAAAUGCACAUAUAUAAUAAUUAUUUUAAUAUAUUUUUAAAUCAAUAAAAAAUUUAUAAAUCAUAUUUAUUCAACAUUUAAAAUAAAAUAUUCUGUAAAUUUAUAUAUUAUAUUUUAUUAGAAAAUAUCUACAAUAUCCUAUAUUAUUCUUUUCUUUAUAUACAUUAAAUAUUUUUAUAUAUUUUUGGAUAUCUAAUAAAUCUAAAAUUUAAGUAAGUGUUUUAAACUAAAAGUAUAAAAAUUUAAUUGACAUUUCUUUCAAAAUUUAAAAUUUAAUUUUGAUCCAUUAUAUAAUUAAAUUUUUUAAUUGUUAAUUCAAGUUUGAUAUCAAAAAUCAAAAGUAAAUUUAAUUCACAAUUUAAACUCAAAUUUAAAUUUUAAUGUAAAAUAGAUGGAUAGAUUUAAUAUCAAAAAUUAAAAAUUUAAUUUAAUUUACGAUUUAAACUCAAAUUUAAAUUUUAAUAUAAAAUAGAAGAAUAAAAGUGCUAUUUUUUAAUAGAUUGAUCAUAACUGUUCAUUUUUAUUUCAAAUAUUUUUUAUUAAUUGAUCAUAACCAUUCAUAGAAUUGAAUUUAUAGAUUGGUAUAAAUAUUUUUUUAAAAAAAAUUGAUCAUAACCGUUUCGUUCUUAUUUGAGAUAACUUUUUACAAAUUGAUUAUAAAUUUGUACACCAUAUUAUUCCAAAAAUAUGAUUUACAAAUUUAUUAACCAAUCUAUCUUUUAAACUAUUUCCAUUGUAAUAUGUUGAUAGUUUCAAAAUUUAAAAUUUUAAAUAAUUUUAAAUUUUGAGUUGAAAUAUAGAUUUAUAAUAGAUAUUCUGGCAAAAAUUUGGAUAAGCAUGAAUUUUUUUCUAUUCUAGAGAUAAAAAAAUUUAAUAAACUUUGAAUUAAAAUAUAAAUUUACAAUAGAUAUCUUUCGGUUGGCAAAAAUUUGGAUAAAUAUUUUUGUUUCUAUUUUGGAGAUAAAGAGAAAUUAAAUGUUUGUUUCAUUACUUUAUUUAUUUUACGUGAGGAAAGAAGAAUCAUUUUUUUUUUCCGCCAAAAAAUUGGUAUGUCGAUAAACCGAAAUUUGAAAUACGUGCUUUUAUAUAUAGUGUAGAUAGAUAAAUAUAGAAAUAGAUAUAGAUUUUAUCAAUUAUAUAAUUAAAUUUUUUUAAUUGUUAAUUCAAUUUUGAUAUCAAAAAUCAAACAUUAAAUUUAAUUCACGAUUUAAACUCAAAUUUAAUUUUUAAUGUGAAUAGAUCGAUAAAAGAGCUAUUUUUUAACAGAUUAAUCAUAACCAUUCAUUUUUAUUUCAAAUAUUUUUAAUUUAUUGAUGAGUUUAAAUUUUUUUUUAACAAAUUGAUCAUAAAUUUGUACAUCAUAUUGAUUCAAAAAUAUGAUUUACAAAUUUAUUAAUCAAUCUAUCUUUUAAGUUAUUCCAUUGCAAUAUGUACAUAGUUCCAAAAUUUAAUAUUUUAAAUUAAUUUUAAAUUUUGAAUUGAAAUAUAUGUUUACAGUAGAUAUUCUGGUAAAAAAUUAGAUACGCAUGAAUUUUUUUCUAUUUUAGAGAUAAAAAAAUUAAACAAAUUUCAAAUUAAAAUNUCUGCCAAAUAAAGAGUCUGUCGAUAGACCGAAAUUUGAAAUACAGGCUCUUAUAUUUAGUAUAGAGUAGUUAUAGUGCACAUGCGAUAUACAUCAAAUUUAAUUAAAUUAAAUUUAUAUUUAUAUUUUAAAUUUAAAUUAUUAUUAGUGGUAUAUGUCUAUUUAUUAUUUAAUUUUUUUUCAUACUUUAGUUUAUUUCUAAAUAAGAAUUAUGUAUUUUUAAUUUAGUUAUACUGUAAAUAUUUUUCAUAUGUAUUUCAUAACAAGCAAAUUUUUAUUGAAUUUGAUCUUGAUUCAAAAUUUGAAUUAAUUAAAAAUAUUAAAUUAAUAAAUUCACAUUUAAAUUUAUGAACGAAACUCAAAAUUUUAAAUUUAUUUUGAUUUCAUAAUUAUAAUAUUAGUAGUUAUUGGAGAUAUAGAUCUAUUUAUCAAUUCACAGUAGAUAUUCUCUAAUUGGUAAAAAUUUGGAUAAGUAUAAAUUUUUUUUAUUUUAGAGAUAAAGAGAAAUUAAAAGUUUGUUUCAUUACAUUACUUAUUUUCCAUAAAAAAAGAGGAACCAAUUUUUUUUUCUAACUAAGAAAAUGGGUUUAUUGACCGACCGAAAUUUGAAAUACGUGUAUUGAUAUAUAAUAUAUAUAUAUAUAUAAUUUUUACUAUAUAUAUAAAUUAUACAAUAUUUUAUUUAUAAAUAUUAUUUAUUAAUUAUAUAGUAAUUAAUUUUAUAGUAUCGAUUAUAUAUACUAUUAUAUAUUAUAUUAAAUAUUUAUAGUAUAAUAUAUUUUAAAUAUAUUUUAUUUAUAAAUAUAAAUUAUAAUACUAAUGUAUGUAACAUGAUAAUUAUUAUAUAUCAAUAAUUAUAUAAUACAAAAAAUAAAAAAGUAUAUAUAAUUGUUUUUAUUUAUAUAUAUAUAUAUAUUUUUUACUUUUCAACCAAACAAUCGUAAUAGAAAUCUAUUUUUUUUCCUACAAAUUAAACGCAAUGUAAAACUUAUUAUUCUCCGAAAAUUAUUUUUUACUGAAAUUUUUCUUAUAGUUUUAUGUGAAAUCAAACAGCCCCUACGUAAAUUUGAUGGUUUUAUUUGCGGAUGAAGUAAAUUACGGUGUAGGCGAAACUGCAAGAGUUUUUUAUUUCAAGUUGGCCGGACAUUCCAUACAAUCGGAUAUAGUUAAUAUAACACUAUAGAAAAUGAGCAAUGAUUGGACUAGUAUUAGAAAAGUACCCACUAAAACACAUUUACUAAAUACAAAGUCAUAAAAUAGAAACUUGCAGAAGAACAAACAUUCUGACCAGCAAACAUCAACACAUUUUCUUAAUUUCUUUUAUGGCCAUUGUAUUGAUUGCCUUUUUUUCUUUUUCUUUUUUUUUGCUUGAGACCAAUAUAAGUAGUACAAUAUUCCAAAUCAAAAGGCUACCGGAAUUCCGAAAUGCGCCUAAUGAAGUCUAGAUCAUCAGCGUCCAUGGGAUCCCACCAGUAGAAGUUCAGACAUUUUACGAAUGUUAUGCGCUCCGCAAGAGUUUGUAGAACAGAUGGUCGAGCAGGGUCGUCAGAACUUGCCAAGUGCACAAUCUUGAGAUUUGGAAAUGCGCAGCGCGGCAGAGAAGAUAGCAGCAGCUCACUGUUAGCGCACAAAUAUAGCUGCUCGACGGAUGGAAAAGAUGAGGGCAAUUCUUUCAGUUUUGGGCAGUCUAGUAGCCUCAACUCCGACAAACGAGGAAAAGAUCGUUGCGCUGCUGACGCUUCACACCACCCCUCUAACUUGGGCAUGUGUUCUAAUCUCAAGUUCUCCAAUACUGGGAAUGCAUCAUCACCUGCACCAUAGAACUCUGAGUCCAGGCUCGUGACUGCUAGGAGAGAAACGAGAUGCAGGACUUUAAGAGCAGGCAACUGCCCAAGCGACGGAAGAGACUUGACAACAGGAAGCUUCUCGAGAGAAAGUGUCUCUAGGUUAUGCAAUUGACUUGUUCUUGGGAGGGCCUUACAUCUGAAACAAAAAGAUAAGUGAAGCAAAACAAGAUUUGGAAGACUGGACUCCAACCAUUUCGGAAAAAUUUUGCCCGGGUAGCGAUAUAUCCCCAAUAGGGUCAAAUUUUCGUGCGGUUGGAGGCCGUUGAGGACUUCUUCGGCUACCCCAAGUGAAUUGAUAAGACCUUGCCUGGCUUUUCCUUCUACCUCAGUGCGCACGCAGGCUUCCAUUUGCUUCUUGUAAGUAUCCAAGUCCCAUGCUAAUGAUAGUGCAUUAAGGCCAUCCAUUUCUAUUAAGUUAGCCUCUCUAGCCUGCUGGAAAUUCUUCACAUUUUCUAGGCUAGUAAUCAAUAGGAUGCCUUCAAGAUUAAGUCUGUUGAGCUCCUUGAGGCCGCACUCUCUCUUUUCGUAGACAUCAAAGAGCAGUAGGUCCCGAAAGUAGCUUGGCUGUGUAAGUCCAGCAGGCAUGCACGUUAAUCUAUGGCAAUGACCUGUGCGAAGACAUGUGAGAUUUUUCGCGUUCUUCUUGUUCUCUGAGAGCUUGCGUAGAAAGAGACAGUGUCCUAGAUUAAUUGAUCGAAGAUCUGAGAGGCAACAUAUGCUUUCGGGAAACCUUUUUAUUCUGGUAUUUGCGAGGUUUAAGGUCUGCAAACUCUUUAAAUGACCAAUGGAAUUUGGUAGGAAGACAAAGCUUGUGCAAUAUUCAAGAUUCAGUGCAAGUAGAUUAGAGAGAUUGCCAAUGGAGUCUGGUAAUUCUUUUAAAAAUCGACAUCCUUGUAGGUCCAAAACUUGCAGAUUCUGCAAGAAACCAAUAGAUUGUGGCAGUAUUUCAAGGUUUGUGUAUGACAAAUUGAGAUACCUUAGGUGUCUAAGAUUACUAAUUGAAUUUGGCAAUUCUUUGAUAGGGUAGUAUUUAAGAUAAAGUGCUCUUAGAAGCUUCAUACUAGAGAAAACAGUUUGAAGAAUCUUUAGCAUCAUAUCUUCCUUUCCUAUCUGCACAAAAGGAUGUGAUUUGAGGAAGUAAAAGGUUCUCAACUUUUUGGCUUUAUUGACAAUCUCUAAAACCGAUGGUAUUAUCUCUAUUGUGUAGAUAAAAGAUGAAUAACGUGUCGAAGGAUAUAUGUCUCUUCUAUUGACAACUUUGCCGAUGCUUGAACAUUCUUCACCUGAAACAAAUUGAGCGAGAUCAUGAACAAGAUCAUGAAUCACGACGGCACCUAUCAUAUGCCUAGGUUCCUCGAAAAGUGAUCUCGAUAAUAGCUCUUCAAUAUAUUGGUAACCCACGUCUUCCAAUUCCAUACUCUCGUUGAGUGACCGAACAAAUCCUUCAGCAAUCCAAAGUUGGAUCAGGUCCUUAAUUAUUAUAAUAGUAUCCUUUGGAAAUAUGGAGCAAUAUGCAAAGCAUUGCUUCAGGUGCGACGGCAAAUGAUUAUAACUCAACCUUAGAGCUGGUAAAAUCUCAUUCUCUUCUAACUUCCAACUAUCAUUGUCCCGAACAGCCAACCACUCACUUUCCCUUCUCUUAGAGCGCAUCAAGCUACCUAAAACCUUCGCUGCCAGCGGGACACCACCACAUUUUUUCACAAUCUCCUUUCCAAUGGUAACUAAGUUUGCGGUCUUCUCACAAGCACCUAUCCCAAAUGCUCUUCUCUCAAACAACAACCAACAAUCAUCCUCAGAUAAAGUCUUCAAAAAGUGUGGCUCCACCGUGGCCAUUACUGAGGCAACUCUACUACUACGGGUGGUCACUAUAAUUUUACUUUCGGUCGCACCAAUAGUUAGCAAAGUCCUAAAUUUGUCCCACUUCUCAUAAUUUUCAUUCCACACAUCAUCCAGCACGAGCAAAAAUAUUUUUUUCUCAAGCUCCUGUUUUAGUUUAGACUGCAUCGACGCCAUGCUUGUGAGAUCACAAGCAUUUCCCGUUGUAUGCUCUAUUAUCGAUCUGACAAGCCUUUUAUGGUCAAAAUCAUCAGAAACACACACCCAUAUUCUCUUCUCAAAGUGAUCGCUUAUUUGUCGAUCAUUAUAGACUAAUUGCGCGAGUGUCGUCUUACCGAGCCCUCCCAUCCCAACAAUUGCUAUAAUCCCGAGAUCACCUCCAGGUGUGUCCACAAGAAAUUCGAUGAUCUUUUUCUUAUCUUCUUCCCUACCAUAAACUUCCGAUUCAAUUACGAAGGAGCUAGUUUCUUCUCUCACCACAUUCUCUUGCCUACAGCAUGUUACUACACAUCUCUCUUGCAAAUGAAACUUAGAUCUCUCCUCUGCAAGCUCAUCUAGUCUCUCCCUUAUUUCCCUUAUCUCCCUAGCUAUCUUUAACUGAAACAUAACUGAGUUAGGCAAUGAUAGCACUCUACUUACCGUUCCCUUCAUCCAGCUAGUAGUACUGCUUUCCGGAUCAGUUAAACUCCUCUUCCAGUUCUUGGCGAAGUCCUCGUCCAGCAGAUCGUCGAUAUCGUAGGCCACAUCUUUGAUGCGUCCCAGCCACCCUCUGAGAGCUCUCUCCUGCACUUGCCUCCCCUCCGCAUCCUCGAGCACGUCGCAGAUGGUGGAGAGGGUGCCCUCCAGCUUCUUCAGCUCGGCGCCGACGUCCAUUACUUGACCAAACUCGCCUGUGAUUCGUUCUCUCAGUCUGUCGACCAGCGAACUCAGGACACCGGAAGCUACUACGUCUGCCAUUUUUUUUUUUUUGAUGUAAUCAAUCAAUUGAUCGAUCAAAAACUGAAUGAAACUAAGAUGAAUAAGACUAAACGAAAAGAGGAGAGGAGACCAAUUUUCUACUUCAGAGUAACUAUGUAAAACUAGAAUGGUCAAAUUGAACGAAAUUAAGCUCGAAUAAGACAAAAGGAAAGCAGGAAUGGAGGCCAAUUUUGUUCUGUAAAAAAGACUUUACUUGUGGGGGUGAUUGGCCUGAGAAUAUAAAAAGUCAUUCAUGAAAGAAGGAAAAUGGAAGGCGGCGAAGCAUCAUCAUUCUCACAAGAAAAAUAAAAGGGUAGCCAAAGGGCAUUUUCAGUUUGACCAAACCAACCUGCGUACUCCUUCCGCAAUAUUUGAUUAGGACUUCCUCAAUAACUAUCGCCGCCGCCGCCGACGACAACGCCACCAUCCAACAAGGGGGGGGCGCCCGCCUGGAAGCAAAGACGAAGGCUAGGAGUAGAGCACCGUUUGUUUUGAGUACAUGCAAGUGUACCCCAAACUAGGCAUCCUAAGUGGCUUUUUAAAAUUAAUUUUCUGUUGAAUCACAUUUGGGAUCAUAAUUUGGCGAGCUUUGUUAGUUACAUGCAAUAUUAACUCUAUUCAGGAAACGCAUGUGACUCUUUUGUUACUGUUACUCCUUUUGUUACUAAUUUUAUUUAAAUAUUUUGCUUUUUUUUAAAAAAUAAUAAUAAUAAUAAUAAAUCCUCACUUUUAACAAAUUAUCAGGAGCAUAAACCCUCUAUGAUGGGGGUGCAUAUAACUAUAUUACUAUUUUGAUUAACCUUUCACAUGUCCCAUUAUAUCAAGGUGACCGCAUAUACCAAGUUUUUUAUCAAACUAGUAUAAUUAAAUUGUGAUUUUAUGCAACUAUGAUUAGUUUUUUUUUAUAGUUUUUUUUUACUCGUAAUCUAAUAUCUUAUUUGGCCCCCGAGUUGACACAGGUAAUGAUUGUCCAGCCUUUCAAAUUUUAUAAAAAAAAGAUUAAUUAAUAUCAAUUUUAAAGACAAUAGUAUCCGGUAAAUAAAAAAAAAAAACUGUAUAUCCCCUUAGUCUUAAAUUUUGGUUUUUGUUGCUUCAUAUUUUGAUCUCCCAACUAGGUUAAGUUUUCAAUUUGACUACUUUACUAAUUACCAUUUUCACCUAAUUAAUUGGAAGGGGGAUAUUCUAAUCAUGGCCAGCUUAAUCGGAGGUAGCCCGAAUAUAGCGAGAGGGCGUAAUUAACCGGGUACCUGCGGGUAUCCGGGAAGCAUGAACUUCUUAAUCUUUGGUUCUUUUAAGUCUAUUUAGACUAAUAAAUAGGAACAUUUUCUCUUUACUUAUUUAAAAUUUCUUUUUGUUUUUCCCUUGUUCAUUUUUCUGAAAAAACAAUUAUAAAUAAUAUUCCAAAGGAGAGGAAAUUUCAAAAAUAACCUUUACACUAACUUACCAUCAAUUUUAAAUAAACAACAAAUAAAAUUCCAACUUUACUCCUAUUGUUAUUACCAUCUUAAAAUAUUUAAUUAGCUAUAAAAUCAUAUAUAAUUUUGUAAACACCCUUUUAAAUUCAUAAAUAACCUACAUUUAGAGGCUGUUUGGUUGCACGUAUUUGCAACUGCACUGUAGUUAUAAAUACAUGCAACCUCAAUUCCUGUAUUUGGUUUAAUGCAGUUGAGUCCAACUGCUGCAGUUACAACUGCACAAAAAUGUUCAAAUGCUAUAGUUGGAACUACAUUCAAAUUAGCUGCAGUUCCAACUGCAGCAGUUGGUGAGGAAUAGAAUUACCCACAAAUUAACAAUAAUAAAUAAAUAAAUAAAUAAAUAAUAUAUAUAUGGAUAAAUAAAAAUAUUUGUAAAUAAACACAUACUAAUAAAAACUUUUAGGCGACAUAAUAAAAAUUUUUAGGCGACACAAGUUUCGUGCAAAAAAUUAAAUUUUAUUAUUAUUCGUCCAAAAAAUUAAACUCAUCCAGCUAGUAGUACUGCUUUCCGGAUCAGUUAAACUCCUCUUCCGGUUCUUGGCCAAGUCCUCGUCCAGCAGAUCGUCAAUAUCGUAGGCCACAUCUUUGAGGCGUCGCAGCCACCCUCUGAGAGCUCUCUCCUGCACUUGCCUCCCCUCCGCAUCCUCGAUCACGUCGCGGAUGGCGGAGAGGGUGCCCGCCAGCUUCUUCAACUCGGCGCCGACGUCCAUCAGCUGACCAAACUCGUUUGUGAUUCGGUCCCUCAGUCUGUCCAGCAGCGAGUUCAGGACGUCCGAAGCCACUACGUCUGCCAUUUUCUCUUUGAUGAUUCUUUUCUUUUCGUAUCAAUCAAUCAAUUAAAAAUUAUCUGUUUCAAUGUAAUAUAUAAAACUGCAAUAGUCAAAUUGAAUGAAAUUAAGAUGCAUAAAUAUCUGACGAAUGAACGAACGUUGCCGGUUGAAGAACAGGACUAAACGAAAGGAGCAGAGGACACGAAGUUUGUGCUGUGAAAAAGACUUUUGACUUGUGGAUCCUAGCAUGUCCGUGGGUGAUUGGCCUGAGAAUAUAAAAAGUCAUACAUAAAGAAGAAAAAUGGAAGGCGAAACUUUAUCAAUCUCACCAGAAAAAAAAAAAGAGGCCAAUGUCAUUCUCAUGUUGACCUUAUCUGCUUGCGUACUAUUUCUGCAAUAUUAUGAUUAGGUCUUUCUCUAAGACUGUGCGUGGUUCCACAACCAAAGUUUAAUAACUCUUGUCUUUUCAAAAAUAAGAAAUAUUCUGAUAUAAGUUAGAACAACAAUAAUUGUAUUUGGAUGUGCUCUGAUGAGGAUAAAAAUGUAUGCCGACUGCUCAACUAUAGAACAUUUUAGCAUUGACCCCUCAACUCCAAACCUUUUUUUCUUUUUUUCUUUUUUUUGAUUAAACAGGGAUAUACCCUAUUUACAGGAAAACCUUUUUUUCUUGGUUUGACUCUCUUUCGACUUCUAAUAUUUUUAUAAUUUUUUUAUUUCGUUAAAUUUAAAAUCUUUGUUAAAUUUAAUAGUUCAAUUAAUAUUGGCAAUUAAUUAAUUUAAUUUUAGUUGCUAUCAAAUGGUAAAAGUUAUUAAAUUUAAUAAAUUAUUAGUAAAGUUAAUAAACUUUUAAAUUUUUUGAUUAAAGUUACUUGAUUUGAAAAACCAAGAAAAAUUAAGUAUGGCCUAUAGUUGAGUACAUGUGAUCUCCCUACAUUCUUUGUUUUUCAAGAGCAGUUUAAUUAUUCUUAGUUACUGAAGGAAAAAAUUUAGAAUGGACCAGGUAUAAUAUUGCUGAUGAUAUGGCAUCCCCAUCCAGUCAGAUAGCUCCCUUUCGAUUCACCCGUCCCAUCUUGAUUAUUAGAAAAAUAUUUUUAUUAUGCUUUUCUCUUAAAAAGAGAGAUGUGAUUUGCUAAUUAUUGAUAAUAUAGUGCAAGUGUAACACAGUAAACUUUUUUUAUAACGGUAGAACCAACAAUAAUAGUCGCCCUAUCCAUUCAGAUUUCAAACACUCCGGCUUCUGCCACUCCUUUCGCAACUUUCAGCCCAUUUCGUGUAGUAGAAGAGCAAAAGCUCUCGCGCGCGUCGUGUGACCACCCUUCAGGUUGAAAUUUAGGUUGAAAUUUGGGCGGGAAUGUGGGAACAAAAUUUAUAGGAGAAAUGCUACCUAUAAACCCAAAAAGGAAUUUAUAUCACAUAUCCCAUUUAUCUAAUAGAUUAAAUUAUUUUAUAAAAUAAUUUCAUCCAUUAGAUUGGUGGGUGUAUAUCCUCCAAAAUAAAGUGUAUAAGUAGAAUUUACUAAUUUCUAAACACACAUUUAUAUCUAUACCAUGGUAAGGUUACUACGAAUACUCCGAAUCUAAAGGUGGUUAACCAAUAUUAAACUGGUAUGAUUUCAUUUAUGGAUAUAAAAAAUAAAAUUUGACUAAUUUGGAUUGAGGUAUGAUUUUUAUCUGCGCCCUACCCGAUUCCAAACACAAACCAAUUUUAUAAUAUAUAAUAUAAAAAAAUUUAAAUUUAUGCUUUGAAAAUUUCAAAUGAUAUGUUUUGAAAUUUGAUAAGAGAAAUAGUCGCUUUCGGGUUUGGACUUUCAUGUUUGGUUUCGGAUUUUGAUUUUUUGUCGGGUUUCGGUUUUGGUUAUAGAUUUUUAAAAUUCGACUGUUUCAGAUUUGUCUCCAGAUUUCGAUUUUAGCUGUCCAGUUCGGAUUUGAAUUUUGGAAAACCAGUCCCAAGUCCGACCAAUUGGCAUCCCUAAUACCACGACCCCUGCCCCUUUGUUUGGUAGUUAGAUAAAAGAGAUUUAUUAAUUCAAAACUUAAAAUAUAUAUAUAAAUAAUUAAAAUAAAAAGAGAUCUUCUAUAUAAUUUUCCAAUACUAUAGUGCAUUAAAUAAUUUUAUUCAAUUUAUAUAAUUCUAUUGCCCUUUUUAUAAGCAAUUUAUUCUGCAAACUUGUUUUUGUAAAGUUUCACAGCUGAAUUUACAGCUAAAUUCAACAGUAAUCCUAAAAGUAGGAUCCAUUAAAGACAAUUAUAACAAAGCGCAGGGGACAUUAAUAAUAUAAUAUUUGAUGCGGAGGGUUAACGAGACACGAUGUAAAAUGCAAUGGGCCUUUUUGCUAUUUGACCAAUUAUUUUAGUGUGAAUUAAAUGACGGGUUUUAUUUUUCAAUUUCUAAGAAAAUUUUUAGUUAAAAGUUUGUUUGGGUGGGAGUGAGGUGGAAGUGGAAAGGGAGAAAUCGUUUUCGUCAUGAAAGAUCAUUUUCAUUGUUUGGUUCGUCGUAAAAUAUUUACGGUCGAAACUCGAGUUAAUCUGAAAUUGUGUAAUUGACUUCGGCCCAUCGCAAGCCGAAAUCAAUUACUAUGAAAUAAGAUGAAAAAAAUAUAAUAAAAUAAUAUACUAGGUAAAAAUCGUUACAUUUAAAUAUAUUUAAUUAUGGUACUAAUUACUCUAUUAUUCAGUUGGCAUAUUUAAAAUAUUAUAAAAUUUGAUUAGUUAAGUUUUAAUAUUUUCGUUAUUUAGUUUGUAAAAUUAAAAUAAAUAAAAAUUUAUUAAUUAAGUAUUAAUAUUUAUUUUACUUUAAUUUUAUUGUAGUAUUACUAUAAUUUAUGUAUAAAAAAAUAAUUUAAUUAUUUUAAAUUAAAUUUUAAUUAUAUAAAAAUAUAAUUAUAUUAUUUUUAUUUAUUUAAGUCAACAAUAAAGAAAGAAAAUGGAGGCCGAAACUUUUAUUCAAUGCUCACAAAAAAAAAGUUACAAAAAUUCUCAUAGUUGCCUUAUCUGUCUUGCUACUAUUUCUGCAACUAUUUCUUGAUAGGAAUCCUCGAGCACGUCGCGGAUGGCGGAGAGGGUGCCCGCCAGCUUCUUCAGCUCGGCGCCGACGUCCAUUAGCUGACCAAACUCGUUUGUGAUUCGGUCCCUCAGUCUGUCCAGCAGUGAGUUCAGGACGUCCGAAGCCACUACCUCUGCCAUUUUUUUUUUGAUGUUUCUAUUCUUUUCGUAUCAAUCGAUCGAUUAAAAUUUAUCUGUUUCAUCGUAAUAUAUAAAACUACAAUAGUCAAAUUGAAUGAAAUUAAGAUGAAUAAAUAUCUGACGAAUGAACGAACGUCCCCGGUAGAAGAACAGGACUAAACGAAAGGAGCAGAGGAGACCAAUCUUGUGCUGUGAAAAAGACUUUGACUUGUGGAUCCUAGCAUGUCCGUGGGUGAUUGGCCUGCGAAUAUAAAAAGUCAAACAUAAAGAAGAAAAAUGCAAGGCGAAACAUCAUCACUCUCACACGAAAAAUAAAAGGGAGGGCAAAGGUCAUUCUCAGGUUGACCAAAUCAACCUGCUUCUUUAAUACUAUAUUUGGCUCGAAAACUAAAUUUUAGAAAAUAAUAAGAAAUAUUUUCUCACUAUCCUUCAAAAUAAGUCUAAUAACAUAAAUAUUCCUAUAAAAAUUGUAAUAUCAUAAAUAACCUCCAAAAGAGACGAACUUUCAAAAAUAAUCUUCACACUAACUUACCGUCAAUUUUGAGUACACGGUAAAUAAAAUUCCAACUUUACCAAUUUUACAAUAUAUAAUAUAUAAAAAUUUAAAUUUGUGCUUUUAAAAUUUCAAAUGAUAUGUUUUGAAAUUUGAUAAAGAGAAAUAGCCGCUUUCGGGUUCGGAUUUUCAUGUUUGGUUUCAGAUUUUGUUUUUUUGUUGGGUUUCGCUUUUGGUUAUAGAUUUUUAAAAUUUGACAGCUUUAGAUUUGACUCCAGGUUCUAAUUUUGGCUGUCGAGUUCGGAUUUGAAUUUUGUAAAACCAGUCCCGAGUCCGACCAUUGGCAUCCCUAAUACCACCAGGUCCCCCACCCCUGCCCGUUGUUUGGUACUUAGAUAAAAGAGAUUUAUUAAUUCAAAACUUAAAAAAAUAUAUUAAUAAUUUAAAUAAAAGAGAUCUUCUAUAUAUUUUUUUUGAAUACUAUCAAAAUUAAUAGUGCGUGCAUUGACUAAUUUUAUUCAAUUUAUAUAAUUCUAUUGCCUUUUUUAUAAGCAAUUUAUUCUGCAAACUUAUUUUUUAAAAGUUUUACAGCCGAAUUUUCAGCUAAAUUCAAUAAUAAUUCUAAUAGUAGGAUCCAUUAAAGAUAAUUAUGAUAAGGUGCAGCCGACAAUUAAUAUAAUUUUUGAUGCAGAGGGUAAAUGAGACACCACGUAAAAUGCAAUGGGUCUUUUUGUUAUUUAGCUAAUCCAUAUAGUUUUGUAUUUUCUCACUUUAAUAUCUUGUGGUUUAAACUGUAUCAUUUUAGUAUCUUGUGGUUUCAUUUUUCUUCUUUCAUUAUCUCCUCCGUUAAUUUUUUCAUUAAAUCAACGAGAAAUUUAAAACUAUAGGGUACUAAAAUAAAAUUUCGUAAACCACAAGAUACUAAAGUGAAUAUUCGAUAAAUAAUAGGGGGUAUCUGAAGUUUUUUUUCUACAUAUUUUCACGGGGAGUUAAUGAAAAGGAUAAGGGAAAUAGGAAAGAAAAACCAUAGGGUACUAAAAUGAUAUACUUUAUGCCACAGGGUAUAUAUUUUAACGGAGAGUUAAUAGAGGGUAUAACGGAAAGAAAAAAACGAAACCACAUGAUACUAAAGCGGGGGUUUUUAGUGCAAUAGUUCUCUUCUAAAAUUUUAUUUUAAAAAUAAAUCUAUUAAAUUUUUAUUUAUAGAUAUAGUUCUAUAAAAGCGGUAAAUGAUUCACCGAUUUUAAAAGCGGUGAACUAUUCACCGCUUUCUUUCUUUCUCUCACUUCUUUUUAUAAUUUUAUGAUGGUAAAAGCGGUGAAUGGUUCACCGCUUUUUCUGUUUUUCUACUCUUAAAUAAAAGUUAUGAAUGCGGUGAAUGAUUCACCACAUUUAAAGGUUUAUUUUUAUAAUUAUUUUUUUAAGAAAACUAUUUUUAUAAUUAUAAAAAUUGAUAAGAUUAGUUAUAAAAAAAAAUUCUACUAAAAUGAUACACUUUUAAUCACAGUGUACUAAAGUGAGAAAAUGCUAAACCACAUGGGGAUAUUUGAAAUUUUUUUUAUUAUUUUAGUCUGAAUUAAGCUCACUGGGAAGUUUGGAUAAAGAGUAUAAUUAAAUGCCUACACCGACGUACUGUUCAUUUCUCAGAAAUUAGAAAUCAUCUUGUAUAUAGAAUACAUCAUCCUAAAAAAUAAUGAUAACUAUUAGCAUUUUGAAAGAAUCAAAAUCUAAAACUAUAUUUUCUUUCAACGAAACAACUGUAAUAGAAAACUAUAUUUUUUUUCGUACAAACCAAACACAACAUAAAACUUACUUCACUACAAUAAAACUAAGCUAUAGCGACACUUUUUAGUGUUCCUAAAAUCUAAAAAAAGUGUUGCUGGCAAAAAAACCGACACUAAAAAUAGUGUCGCUAUAUGUGCAGUCCCUAGGGUAUAUAGCAACACAUAAUAAAGUGUCGGUAUAUCCCAAAUAAGUGCUGCAGUUUAGUGACACUUUUUUUUGCUUUUAGUGACACACAUAAGUGUCCCUAAUUUUUUUUUAAAAAGUAUUAUUUUUUUUAUAUAGUGACACUUUAUAAGUGUCCCAUUGUCAUUCAAUAUAUAAUAUUUUAUUUAAACAUCUAUUCUAGUAUUAAACUUUAGUUAAACUAAUCUCAUGUACAUUAAAUCGAUGAGACUAAAAAAAAAGAAUCAACAAAGUUCCUUAAAUUCUCGUUAAAAUGAUAAAACUAAAAUCAAAUAUCUAUACGUUACAACAAUAAUAUACACUCAUAUGUUGUAGUACUUAUAACAAAUUAAACUCUCUAACUAAAAAAAAUAUAAAAAAUCAAAAAUUGUUUGAUAACAAAAAUUAAAAAGUGCAUAAACGAAUUUUGAUCGGCCCCACGACUAUAUACUUGAACCUGCACAUUGAAAAACAUUUGAAUUAAUUCAAAUUUUUGCAAUAUCCUUGAUUUGCCAAAGCAUUAAAAAAAAAAAGAGACUUGUUGAAAUUCUGUCACAUGCAUCUAUUAACAAAGUGUACACAAUUGUUGCAGAACUUGAACUAUAACGGAGCUUCGAAAUAGACUUGUCAUUGUUUGUCGGCACCCCCCCAAUAUUUUUUCUUUCCCUUUUGAUUUGUGUUAUUUCUACUAAAUUGGUUGGGGGUUAAGUUAAACAUAACUAUCAGUUAACUACCUAAUACUAAUUGUCAACAAAUCCCACAAUUUUGACAAACAGAACUUGUAAAGCCACUCAAAUUAAUCAAAUCACCAUUAAACCUAACAAACUUGCCACAAUUCAACACGCAAAGGAAACAAAUUAAUCAAAACAAAUGAAAGUUGCGGAGGAUGUGCGUACAUUCAGGAUAAUUACGGAUAUAUAUUGGGGGGUGGCACAUUUCUAUAGAUUUGUUGGAUAAUAUUUAUGUAAUAUUCUAGAAUAACCUAGUUUGACCAGAAUAAUUAUAAGUUCUGACGAACGUCUUACAUAUUCUUUAGCUAUAAGAGGAUAAAUCCAAUUAUCCCUCAUUUGUCCCACCCAAACAAAUUUACAUCAUAAUCAAAUUAGUAUUUUAAGAAAAAAAGGCACAGAUCAAACUAACGAUAGCAACUCAAUGAAGUGAUUGUUCCAAUAGAACAUAUCAACCUAUGUUAUCAUGGUGUUGGAGGAAUAGAUCAAACUAAUUGCAAACAAAAUCUAGAGAAAAGAAAUUACUUUUUCCCUACCUCAGUUAAUGCUGAAUGGAUACUUUCCCUCUAGGCAUCUAAGUGGCCACUUAAUGCUGAAUGGAUAUUUGGGCUUUGAUUAUUUUUUUUAAAAAAAAUUGAAUAUAUAUGGGACACUUGUACAAAAGUGUUUUUAAAAUGUGUCGCUAUAACCUAGUUUUGUUAUAGUGCUUUUCUUCAAAAAAUUUUUCUAUUCAAAUUUUUGUUUCAUAGUUUUACGUGAAAUCAAACUGCCUCCUACCUGAAUUUAAUGGUUUUAUUUGCCAAUGAAGAAAAUUACGAUUCAAGCGAAACAGGAAGAGUUUUUUUUUUUUUUUCAAGUUGGCCGCACAUUUCAUAUAAUCGGAUAUAAUUUAUUAAUAUAAUACUAUAGAUAACAAGCAAUGAUUGGAUUGGUAUUAGAAAAGUACCCACUAAAACAAAUUUACUAAAUACAAAGUCAUAAAACACAAACUUGCAGAAGAGUAAACAAUAUGACCAGCAAACAUCAACACAUUUUCUUAAUUUUGGCCAUUGUAUUGAUUGCCAAUUUUUUUUUUUUCUUCCACUUGAGACGAAUGUAAUUAGUAGUGCAAUAUUCCAAAACAAAAGGCUAUGGGAGUUCCGCAGCGUAUCUGAUGAAGUCUAGAUCAUCAUCGUCCAUGGGAUCCGACCAGUAGAAGUCUAGACAUUUUACGUAUGUUAAGCGCUCCGCGAGAAUUCGUGGAACAGAUGGUCAAGCAGAGUCAUAGGAAUUUGCCAAGUGCACAAUCUUGAGAUUCGGAAAUGCGCCGUGUGGGAGAGAAGAUAGCAGCAGCUCACUAUUAGCGCACAAAUAAAGCUGCUCGACUGACGGAAAAGGCGAGGGCAGUUCUUUCAGUUUUGGGCAGUCUAGUAGCCACAACUCGGACAGACGAGGAAAAGAUUGUUGCGCAGCUGAUGCUUCACACCACUCCUCCAACUCUGGCAUGUGUUCUAGUUUCAAUCUCUCCAAUACUGGGAAUGCACCAUCACCUGUACCGUAGAACUCUGAGCCCAGGCUCUUGACUGCUAGGAGAGCAACGAGAUGCAGGACUUUAAGAGCAGGCAACUGGCCGAGCGGCAGAAGAGACUUGACGGCAGGAAGCUUCUCUAGAUAAAGGAUCUCAAGGUUAUGCAAUUGACUUGUUCUUGGGAGGGUCUCACAUCUGAAACAAGAAGAUAAGUAAAGCUCAACAAGAUUUGGAAGACUGGACUCCAACCAUUUUGGAAAAUUUUUGCCCGGGUAGCGACAUAUCUUAAGUAGGGUCAAAUUUUCAUGCGGUCGGAGGCCGUCGAGGACUUGUUCGGCUACCGCAAGUGCAUUGAUCAGACCUUGUCUGCUUCUUCCUUCUACGUCAGUGCGCACGCAAGCUUCCAUCUGCUUCUUGUAAGUAUCCAGGUCCCAUGCCAACCCUAGUGAGUGAAGACCAUCCAUUUCUAUUAAGUUAGCCUCUCUAGCCUGCUGAAAAUUCUUCACAUUUUCUAGGCUAGUAAUGCCUAGGACGCCUUCAAGGUUAAGUCUGUUGAGCUCCUUGAGGCCACAUUCGCUCUUUUCGCAAAGGUCAAAGAGCAGUAGUUCUCGAAAAUAGCUUCCCUGUGCAAGUCUAGCUGGCAUGCGCGUUAAUUUAUGGCAAUGACUCGUGCAAAGACAUGUGAGGCUUUCCGUGUUUUUCUUGUUCUCCGGGAGCUCGCGUAGAAAGUAACAAUGUCUUAGAUUAAUUGAUCGAAGAUCUGAGAGGCAACAUAUGCUUUCGGGCAACUUUUUUAUUCUGGUAGAUGUGAGGUUUAAGGUUUGCAAACUCUUUAAAAGACCAACGGAAUUUGGUAGGGAGACAAAGCUUGUGCAACAUUCAAGAUUCAGUGUUAGUAGAUUGGAGAGAUUACCAAUGGAGUCUGGUAAUUCUUUUAAAAAUCGACAUCCUUGCAAGUCCAAAACUUGCAGAUUCUGCAAGAAACCAAUAGAUUGUGGCAGUGUUUCAAGGUUUGUGUAUGACAAAUUGAGAUACCUUAGGUGUCUAAGAUUACUAAUUGAAUUUGGCAAUUCUUUGAUUGGGUAGUAUUUAAGAUAAAGUGCUCUUAGAAGCUUCAUACUAGAGAAAACAGUUUGAAGAAUCUUCAGCAUCAUAUCUUCCUUUCCUAUCUGCAUAAAAGGAUGUGAUUUGAGGAAGUAAAAGGUUCUCAACUUUUUGGCUUUAUUGAGAAUCUCUAAAACCGAUGGUAUUAUCUCUAUUGUGCAUAUAAAUGAUGAAUAACGUGUCGAAGGAUAUAUAUCUCUUCUGUUGACAGCUUUGGCGAUGCUUGAACAUUCUUCACCUGAAACAAAUUGAGCAAGAUCAUGAACAAGGUCAUGUAUCACAACGGCACCUAUCAUAUGCGUAGGUUCCUCAAAAAGUGAUCUCGAUAAUAGCUCUUCGAUAUAUUGGUAACCCACAUCUUCCAAUUCCACGCUCUCGGUGAGUGACCGAACAAAUCCUUCAGCAAUCCAAAGUUGGAUCAGGUCCUUAGCUAUUAUAAUGGUAUCCUUUGGAAAUAUGGAGCAAUAUGCAAAACAUUGUUUCAAGUGCGACGGCAAAUGAUUAUAACUCAACCUUAGAGCUGGUAAAAUCCCAUUCUCUUCUAACUUCCAACUUUCAUUGUUUCGAACAGCCAGCCACUCACUUUCCCUUCUCUUAGAGCGCAUCAAGCUACCUAAAACCUUCGCUGCGAGCGGGACACCGCCACAUUUUUUCACAAUCUCCUUUCCAAUGGUAACUAAGUUUGCGGUCUUCUCAUUAGCACCUAUCCCAAAUGCUCUUCUCUCAAACAACAACCAACAAUCAUCCUCGGAUAAAGUCUUCAAAAAGUGUGGCUCUACCGUGGCCAUUAGUAAGGCAACUCUACUACUACGACCGGUCACUAUAACUUUAGUUGCGGUGGCACCAAUAGUUAGCAAAGUCCUAAAUAUGUCCCAUUUCUCGCAAUUUUCAUUCCAUACAUCAUCCAGCACAAGCAAAAAUCUCUUUUUCUCAAGCUCCUGUUUUAGCUUAGACUGCAUCGCUGCCAUACUUGUGAGAUCGCAAGCUUUUCCUGUUGUAUGCUCUAUUAUUGAUCUGGCAAGCCUUUUAUGGUCAAAAUCAUCCGAAACACACACCCAUAUUCUCUUCUCAAAGUGAUCGCUUAUUUGUUGAUCAUUGUAAACUAUUUGUGCAAGUGUCGUCUUACCGAGCCCUCCCAUCCCAACAAUUGCUAUGAUCCCCAGAUCACCACCAGAUGUGUCCACAAGAAAUUUGAUGAUCUUUUUCUUAUCUUCAUCCCUACCGUAAAAUUCCGAUUCAAUUACGAAAGAGCUAGUUUCUUCUCUCCCCACAUUCUCUUGCCUACAGCAUGUUACUACAGAUCUCUCUUGCAAAUGAAACUUAGAUCUCUCCUCCGCAAGCUCAUCUAGUCUCUCCCUAAUCUCUCUAAUCUCCCUACCAAUCUUUAAUUGAGAAAUAAUUGAGGUAGGAAAUGAUAGCACUUUACUUACCGUUUCCUUCAUCCAGCUAGUAGUACUGCUUUCCGGAUCAGUUAAACUCCUCUUCCGGUUCUUGGCGAAGUCCUCAUCCAGCAGAUCGUCGAUAUCAUAGGCCACAUCUUUGAGGCGUCGCAGCCACCCUCUGAGAGCUCUCUCCUGCACUUGCCUCCCCUCCGCAUCCUCGAGCACGUCGCGGAUGGCGGAGAGGGUGCCCUCCAUCUUCUUCAUCUCGGCGCCGACGUCCAUUAGCUGACAAAACUCAUUUGUGAUUCGGUCUCUCAGUCUGUCCAGCAUUGAGUUUAGGAUGUCCGAAGCCACUACGUUUGCCAUUUUCUCUUUGAUGAUUCUUUUCUUUUCGUAUCAAUCAAUCAAUUAAAAAUUAUCUGUUUCAAUGCAAUAUAUAAAACUGCAAUAGUUAUGUUGAAUGACGUUAAGAUGAUUAAAUAUCUGACGAAUGAAUGAACGUCCGCGGUAGAAGAACAGGACUAAACGAAAGGUGCAGAGGAUGACCAAUUUUUUGCAGUGAAAAAGACUUUGACUGGAGGAUCCUUGAAUGUUGGUGGGUGAUUGGCGUGAGGAUAUACAAAGUCAGAAAUGGGAGGCGAAAGGCCAAAUAUCAUUCUCAUGUUGACCUUUUCUACUUGCGUACUAUUUCUGCAAUAUUUUGAUUUGGACUUUCUCUAAGACUCUGUCCGUGGUUCCAAAACCAAAGUUUUAGAAAAUAACUCUUAUCAUUUCAAAAAUAAGAAAUAUUCUGAUAUAAGUUAGAACAACAGUAAUUGUAUUUGGAUGUGCUCUGACGAGGGUAAAAAUGUGUGUGGACUCCUCAACUGUAGAACAUUUUAGCAUUGACCUCUCAACUCCAAACUUUUGUUUUUUUUUGUUUGACACUCUUUCGACUUCUAAUAUUUUUUAAAAUUUUUUUUCUUUUGUUAAAUUUAAAAUCUUUGUUAAAUUUAAUAGUUCAAUUAAUAUUGGCAAUUAAUUAAUUUAACUUUACUUGCUAUCAAAUGGUAUAAGUUAUUAAAUUUAAUAAAUUAUUAGUAAAGUUAAUAAACUUUUGAAUUUGUUUGAUUAAAGUUAUUUGAUUCGAAAAACCAGGGAAAAUUAAGAAUGGCCUAUAGUUGAGUACAUGGGAUCUCCAUACAUUCUUUGUUUUUCCGGAGCAGCUUAAUUAUUCUUAGUUACUGUGGGAAAAAAUUUUAAAUAUAAUAUUGCUGGUGAUAUGGCAUCCCUAACCAGUCAUAUAGCUCCCUUUGGGUUCAUCCGUCCCAUUGUCAUUAUUAGAAAAAUAUUUUUAUUAUAUUUUUCUCUAAAAAAGGAAGAUGUGUUUAGCUAAUUAUUAAUAAUGUAGUAUAAGUGUGACACAGUAGACUUCCUCAUUACUGUAGAGCCAACAAUAAUAAUUGUCCUAUUCAUUCAGAUUUCAAACACUCCCGCUUCUGCCAUUCCUUUCGUAACUUUCAGUCCAUUUCUUGCAAAAGAAGAGCAAAAACUCUCGCACGUGUCGUGUGACCAGCAAAUUUGGGCGGGAAUGUGAGAACAAAAUUUAUAAGAGUAAUGCCACCCAUAAACCCAAAAAGGGAUUUAUAUCAUAUAUCCCAUUUAUCUAAUAGAGUAAACUAUUUUAUUUGUUAUAUAAUUUAAUAAAUAAAAUAAUCUCACCCAUUAGAUCGGUGGGUAUAUAUCAUACACUCCAAAAUAAAGUGUAUAAAGAAUUUACUAAUUUCUAAACACACAUUUAUAUCUAUACCAUGGUAAGGUUACGAAAACUCGGAAUUUUAUAUAAGUUCGAAUCACAAGGUGGUUAACCAAUAUUAAACUGGUAUGAUUUCAUUUAUGGAUGGAUAUAAAAAAUAAAAUUCGACUAAUUCGAUUUGAGGUAUGAUUUUUAUCUGCGCCCUACCAGGUUCCAAACACAAACCAAUUUUAUAAUAUAUAAUAUAUAAAAAUUUAAAUUUGUGCUUUGAAAAUUUCAAAUGAUAUGUUUUGAAAUUUGAUAGAGAGAUAUAGUCGCUUUCGGGUUUGGAUUAUCAUGUUUGGUUUUGGAUUUUGAUUUUUUGUCGGGUUUUCGGUUUUGGUUAUAGAGUUUUAAAAUUCGACUGCUUCAGAUUUGUCUCCAGGUUUCGAUUUUUGCUGUGCAGUUCAGAUUUGAAUUUUGGAAAACCAGUCCCAAGUCCCACCAAUUGGCAUCCCUAAUACCACCACCCCUGCCCCUUUCUUUGGUACUUAGAUAUUUAUUAAUUCAAAACUUAAAAUAUAUAUAAAUAAUUUAAAUAAAAGAGAUCUUCUAUAUAAUUUUCUAAUACUACCAAAAUUAAUAGUGCAUUAAAUAAUUUUAUUCAAUUUAUAUAAUUCUAUUGCCCUUUUUAUAAGAAAUUUAUUCUGCAAACUCAUUUUUGUAUAGUUUCACAGCUGAAUUUACAGCUAAAUUCAAUAGUAAUCCUAAUAAUAGGAUCCAUUAAAGACAAUUAUAAAGUGCAAGGGGCAUUAAUAUAAUAUUUAAUGCAGAGGGUAAACGAGACACGACGUAAAAUCCAAUGGGCCUUUUUGCUAUUUGACCAAUUAUUUUAGUGUGAAUUAAAUGAGCGGUUUUAUUUUUCAAUUUCUAAGAAAUUUCUUAGUUAAAUGUUUGUCCGGUGGAAAUGGAGUGGAAGUGAAGAGGGGAGAAAUCGUCUUCGCUAUAAAAGAUUAUUUUUAUUAUUUGGUUCGUCUUAAAACAUAUACGAUCGAAAUUCGAGUUAAUCUGAAACGACGUAAUUGAUUUCGACCCAUCGUGGGUCAAAAUUAAUUACGGUAAAAAUAUAUGAAGAAAAUAUAAAAAAAAAAUAAUAUACUAGGUAAAAACAAUUAUAUUUAAAAAUAUUUAAUUAUGAUACUUAUUACUCUUUUAUUUAGUUGGCAUAUUUAAAAUAUGAUAAAAAUUGAUUAGUUAAGUUUUAAUAUUUUCGUUAUUUAGUUUGUAAAAUUAAAAUAGAUAAAAAUUUAUUAAUUAAGUAUUAAUUUUUUUUACAUUAAUUUUAUUUUAGUAUUACUAUAAUUUAUGUAUAAAAAAAUAAUUUAGUUAUUUUAAAUUAAAUUUUAAUUACAUAAAAUAUAAUUAUAUUAUUUUAUUUAUUAAAUUAUUUAUUAUUUAUAUAUAAAUUAUAGUCUUAUAUCAUACACUUUCUACCAAACAAACAAUAGAACUAAUAAAAUUUUAUUUUAAUAACUACGAAAUAAACAACGAAAAAGAAGUAGUUUUAACUGAACUCCACUUCAACUCAAAGUUCAAUUUCGAUGAAAUAAACAUUCUAUUUGUUUGAUUCCAUAUAAAAUAACCUCGAAAAGAAAUUUUUAAUUGAAAAGUAGAAUUCCAAUAUUUAUUUGCGCGUAAAUUUUUUUUUUUACAUGUAUGGUGAAAAAGGGGGGUUUUUGUUUUCCGCUCUAAACCAAGAGAAAAAUGAAAACCUCGUCGGAAGAAAACGCGGCGUGGGAGGGGAAGUGGGCACGAAGUACAGUCGACCUCCUGGACCGUAAGAGAGAGGUCCACCGUGAACCUAUUUCUCUCCCCCACUCUUUUUCUUUUAUAUAUACAUAUUAAAAAUUGUAUUUUAUUUUUAAUAUAAAUAUAGUAUUAUAGAAUAUUGUAUUUAUAAAUAUAUAAUAAUUUAUUUUAUAGUAUUAAAUAUAUAUUAUUAUAUAUUAUAUUUCAUACUUAAUUAGGAAUUAAUUUCGUACAGAUCCCUGUAAAUAUAGUGAAUAAUAAAUAUAUUUCUACAAAGUUUAAUUUUUAUAUAUUAUCCCUACAAAAGUUCUCAUAUUUUCAAAUUAAAAUUUAUAUAUAAAUUUAAAAUUUAAAAAUUAAUUAUUUAUGAUGGCUUGCUUUCAGUUUGGCACUUUCUUUGUAUGGUGAAAUUGAUUGCUUUCUUUGCACAAUAAAAAAUUGAAUUUGACUUGAAUUUAGAAUUUACUGUUUUGAUAUUAAGUUAAAUAUUAUAAAAUAUUCUGGAAUGCGCGAUGGUGUGGCGACGUCGCACCGAGAUACCGUUUCCCUCACUUGUAUGCUGCCGCGCAUCACAAACACCUCGCUGUCGCAACCUGGUUUCGACGUUUCGCUGCGCGACCAAACUUGGGUCAUUCUGUACCACUUGGAAUCCAUGAACAAGACGAACUACACCGACUUGAGAUAUUGAUCCACAACGUCACUUUAUCGGCUGAGGAUGACACCCCCUCAUGGCGCUGGUUGAACUCCGGUACGUUUACCGUUCGAAGCGCAUACAAUUUCCUUAUGUUUGAUGGAGUCAAUGCUUCAAAAACUGUUUUCCUCUGGCGUCUUAAAAUCCCUCUUAGAAUCAAAUUGUUCAUUUGGCUAGCUGCACGAAACAGACUUCUCACGGCCGAAUUUCUUGCAAAGCGGGGCUGGCACGGCCCCUCAAUAUGCCCUCUCUGUUGCAGGGAGGUAGAGACACUCAACCACUUGUUCUUCCUAUGCCCUUACGCCAAGUCACUUUGGAACCGACUGCUUCGCCGACCGCUGCUGCUCCAAAUGUUGACGUCUGACUACGCUGCUGAGUUAGCCGACCGCUGGAGCAGAGCUAGAAAUCUACUCUCUGGCCAAUUCAAGGACCAUUUCGACCUCCUCUUCACGGCUUCAUGCUGGGAAUUAUGGAAUGAACGAAAUAAGAGACUAUUCGAAGAUCAACUCAAGCAGCCUACCUUCCGGAGCCAAAACAUUCUCUGCACGGUGCGAUCAUGGAAAGCCGCACUCGGGGACAUGGACAGCAUCUAGGAGUGUGCGCUUUUUGGGGUUUUUUGGGGCUUUGAUUUUGAUUUUUGGUUUUUUUGGUUUCUGGGUUCCUGCUCCUAGAUCUUGAUUGCGAUCAACCCAUGCUGUUCUUGCCGUUCUGUUUUUUCGCCUUACUAGACUGCUCCUAUACUCUCAGUUCUGACUUUGUUAAAAUAGGGUAUACCCCUGUUUAAUCAAAAAAUAUUAUAAAAUAUUUUUUUUUCUUUAAAAACUUAAAAACUACCCUAUAACAGUAUUUUUAAUAUUAAUAUUCAACAAUAUCAAUUAUCUAUUUGCUCUAAAAAUUCAUAUAUCUCAAAAAGGCCAAGAUAAUUGGAUAACUUAUUAUAUUUGAAUUUAAAUUGGAUAAAGAAAAUAGUAGAAUACAUAAGUGAUUUUAAUGGUUUUAUUUGCAGGAGAAGAAAAUUACUUUGCAGGCGAAACUGCAACAGUUUUUUUUUUUUUUUUUUUUUUUUUGGCCGAACAUUUCAUAUAAUCGGAUAUAAUUAAUAUAACACUAUAUAUAUAACGAGCAAUGAUUGGACUGGUAUUAGAAAAGUACCCACUAAAACAAAUUUACUAAAUACAAAGUCAUAAAAUACAAACUUGCAGAAGAAUAAACGUUAUGACCGUUCAAACAUCAACACAUUUUCUAAUUUCUUUUAUGGUCAUUGUAUUGAUUGCCAUUUCUUCUUUUUUUUUUUGUUUUUUCUUGAGACGAAUGUAAGCAGUGCAGUAUUCCAAAACAUAAGGCUACGGGAGUUCCGAAAUGCAUCUGAUGAAGUCUAGAUCAUCAUCGUCCAUGGGAUCCCACCAGUGGAAGUCCAGACAUUUUACAUAUGUUAAGCGCUCCACGAGAAAUCGUGGAACAGAUGGUCGAGCAGGGUCAUAGGAAUUUGCCAAGUGCACAAUCUUGAGACUUGGAAAUGCGCCACGUGGGAGAGAAGACAGCAGCAGCUCACUAUUAGCGCACAAAUACAGCUGCUCGACGGACGGAAAAGACGAGGGCAGUUCUUUCAAUUUUGGGCAGUCUAGCAGCAUCAACUCGGACAGACGAGGAAAUGAUCGUUGUUGUGCAGCUGACGCUGCACACCACUCCUCCAACUCGGGCAUGUGUUCAAGUCUCAACUUCUCCAAUACUGGGAAUGCACCAUCACCUGUACCGUAGAACUCUGAGCCCAGGCUCUUGACUGCUAGGAGAGCAACGAGAUGCAGGACUUUAAGAGCAGGCAACUGCCCGAGCGGUGGAAGAGACUUGACGGCAGGAAGCUUCUCGAGAUAAAGGAUCUCAAGGUUAUGCAACUGACUUAUUCUUGGGAGGGUCUCACAUCUGAAACAAGAAAAUACGUAAAGAUGAACAAGAUUUGGAAGACUUGACUCCAACCAUUUCGGAAAAAUUUUGCCUGGGUAGCGAAAUAUCCUCAAUAUGGUCAAAUUUUCAUGCGGUUUGAGGCCGUCAAGGACUUCUUCGGCUACCGUAAGUGCAUUGAUCAAACCUUGCCUGCUUCUUCCUUCGACGUCAGUGUGCAUGCAUGCUUCCAUAUGCUUCUUGUAAGUACCUAGCUCCCAUGUUAAUGAUAGUAUAUUAAGGCCAUCCAUUUCUAUUAAGUUAGCCUCUCGAGCCUGCUGGAAAUUCUUCACAUUUUCCAGGCCAGUAAUCAAUAGGAUGCCUUGAUGAUUAAGUCUGCUGAGCUCCUUGAGGCCGCACUCGCUUUUUUCACAAAGAUCAAAGAGCAGUAGUUCUCGAAAGUAGCUUGGCUGUGUAAGUCCAGCGGGCAUGCGCGUUAAUUUAUGGCAAUGACCUGUGUGAAAACAUGUGAGGCCUUCCGCGUUCUCCUUGUUCUCCGGCAACUCGCGUACAAAGAAACAGCCUGUUAGAUUAAUUGAUCGAAGAUUUGAGAGGCAACGUACGCUUUCAGGCAGCUUUUUUAUUCUAGUAUAUGCGAGGUUUAAGGUUUGCAAACUCUUUAAAUGACCAAUGGAAGCUGGUAGGGAAAUAAAGCUUGUGCAGUAUUCAAGAUUCAGUGUUAGUAUAUUGGAGAGAUUACCAAUGGAGUCUGGUAAUUCUUUUAAAAAUCGACAUCCUUGCAGGCUCAAAACUUGUAGAUUAUGUAGGAAACCAAUAGAUUGUGGCAGUGUUUCAAGGUUUGUGCUUGACAAAUUGAGAUACCUUAGGUGUCUAAGGUUACUAAUUGAAUUGGGCAAUUCUUUGAUGGGGUAGUAUUUAAGAUAAAGUGCUCUUAGAAGCUUCAUACUAGAGAAAACAGUUUGAAGAAUCUUCUGCAUCAUAUCUGCCCUUCCUAUCUGCACAAAAGGAUGUGAUUUGAGGAAGUAUAAGGUUCUCAACUUUUUGGCUUUAUUGAGGAUCUCUAAAACCGAUGGUAUUAUCUCUAUUGAGUAGAUAAAUGAUGAAUAGCGUGUUACAGGAUAUAUGUCUCUCUUAUUGACAGCUUUGACGAUGCUUGAACAUUCUUCACCUGAAACAAAUUGAGCGAGAUUAUGAACAAGAUCAUGUAUAACGACGGCACCUAUCAUAUGCCUAGGUUCCUCGAAAAGUGAUUUCGAUAAUAGCUCUUCGAUGUAUUGGUAACCCACGUCUUCCAAUUCAACACUCUCGGUGAGUGACCGAACAAAUCCUUCAGCAAUCCAAAGUUGGAUCAAGUCCUUAGCUAUUAUAACUGUAUCCUUUGGAAAUAUGGAGCAAUACGCAAAGCAUUGCUUCAAGUGCGACGGCAAAUGAUUAUAACUCAACCUUAGAGCUGGUAAAAUCCCAUUCUCUUCUAACUUCCAACUUUCAUUAUCCCGAACAGCCAGCCACUCACUUUCCCUUCUCUUAGAGCGCAUCAAGCUACCUAAAACCUUCGCUGCCAGUGGGACACCGCCACAUUUUUUCACAAUCUCCUUUCCAAUGGUAACUAAGUUUGCGGUCUUCACAGAAGCACCUAUCCCAAAUGCUCUUCUCUCAAACAACAACCAACAAUCAUCCUCGGAUAAAGUCUUCAAAAAGUGUGGGUCUACCGUGGCCAUUAGUGAGGCAAUUUUGACACUACGGGUGGUCACUAUAACUUUACUUGCAGUGGCACCAAUAGUUAACAAAGUCCUAAAUAUGUCCCAUUUCUCGUAAUUUUCAUUCCAUACAUCAUCCAGCACGAGCAAAAAUCUCUUUUUCUCAAGCUCCUGUUUUAGCUUAGACUGCAUCGCUGCCAUGCUUGUGAGAUCACACGCUUUUCCCGUUGUAUGCUCGAUUAUUGAUCUAACAAGCCUUUUAUGGUCAAAAUCAUCCGAAACACACACCCAUAUUCUCUUCUCAAAGUGAUCGCUUAUUUGUUGAUCAUUGUAAACUAUUUGUGCGAGUGUCGUCUUACCGAGCCCUCCCAUCCCAACAAUUGCUAUGAUCCCGAGAUCACCUCCAGAUGUGUCCACAAGAAAUUUGAUGAUCUUUUUCUUAUCUUCAUCCCUACCGUAAAAUUCCGAUUCAAUUACGAAAGAGCUAGUUUCUUCUCUCCCCACAUUCUCUUGCCUACAGCAUGUUACUACAGAUCUCUCUUGCAAAUGAAACUUAGAUCUCUCCUCUGCAAGCUCAUCUAGUCUCUCCCUAAUCUCUCUAAUCUCCCUACCAAUCUUUAACUGAGAAAUAAUUGAGCUAGGUAAUGAUAACAGGUUACUCACCGUUCCCAUCAUCCAGCUAGUAGUACUGCUUUCCGGAUCGGUUAAACUCCUCUUCCGGUUCUUGGCCAAGUCCUCGUCCAGCAGAUCGUCAAUAUCGUAGGCCACAUCUUUGAGGCGUCGUAGCCACCCUCUGAGAGCUCUCUCCUGCACUUGCCUCCCCUCCGCAUCCUCGAGCACGUCGCGGAUGGCGGAGAGGGUGCCCGCCAGCUUCUUCAGCUCAGUGCCGACGUCCAUUAGCUGACCAAACUCGUUUGUGAUUCGGUCCCUCAGUCUGUCCAGCAGUGAGUUCAGGACGUCCGAAGCCACUACGUCUGCCAUUUUCUCUUUGAUGAUUCUUUUCUUUUCGUAUCAAUCGAUCAAUUAAAAUGUACCUGUUUUAGUGUAAUAUAUAAAACUACAAUAGUCAAAUUGAAUGACAUUAAGAUGCAUAAAUAUCUGCCGAAUGAAUGAACGUACACGGUAGAAGAACAGGACUAAACAAAAGGAACAGAGGAGACGAAUUUUGUGCUGUGAAAAAGACUUUGACUUGUGGAUCCUAGCAUGUCCGUGGGUGAUUGGCCUGAGAAAAUAAAAAGUCAUACAUAAUUAAAGAAGAAAAAUGGAAGGCGCAACAUCAUCAUUCUUGCAAGAAAAAUAAAAGGGAGGGCAAAGGUCAUUCUCAGGUUGACCAAAUCAACCGGCGUACUCUUUCUGCAAUAUUUUGAUGAUGACUUUCUUUAAUACUAUGGGCCUGUGUGGCCUAGUUUCUGAAAAAGUGAUUUCUGAAAAAGUGAUUUUGGUUUGAAGAAGUGAUUUUGGUUAAAAGCUGUAGAGUGUUUGGCUGAAUUUAGAUAAAAGUGUUUUUUCUGAAGUGAUUUUGAAAAGCUGUUUGGCAAUAUUUUUUUUGAUAUUUGCAUAAAUUAAUAUUUUUGUUAAAUUUUAUUUUAAAAUAAUAUAAAAUCUAAAUUUAAAUUUGAAUAAAAUUAAAAUUUUUAAAUUUCAAAAUAAUUUAAAAUUUUAAAAUUUUAAAAUUUAAAAUAUGAUAUUUUAAUUUAAAAAAUAAUUUAAAAUUUUAAAAUUUUAAAAUUUAAAAUAAUUAUAAAAUUUAAAAUUUAAAAAUAUAUAUUUAAAUUUAAAUUUUUAAAUUUUUAAAAUUUAAAAUUUAAAUAUUUAAAAUUUAAAAUUUAAAAUUUGAAUAUUUAAAAUUUGAAUAUUUAAAACUUAAAUUUUAAAAUUUAAAAUUUAAAAUUUUAAAAAUUUGAUAUUUAUAAUUUAAAGAUUAAAAAUUAUAAUUUGAAAUUUGAAAUUUGAAUUUAAAUUUGAAGUUUUAAUCCAAAAUCAGAAUCAGAUUUCAAGAGGCAGCUUUUUUCUGGUUCUAAUUUUGGAGCUUUCAAAAUCAGUUUUCUUAUUCUAAAAAGCAGAAUUAGAUUUUAAAAGUGAGUUGUAAACGCUCUAUUAAGCAGCAAAUCACUUUUCAGCCCAAAGGCGCUUUUUAAAAGCUAGGCCAAACACCCCUAUAUUUGGCUGGAAAGCUAAAUUUUAGAAAAUAAUAAGGAAUAUUUUCUCACCAUCCUUCAAAAUAAGUCUAAUAUCAUAAAUACUCCUAUAAAAAUUAAAAUAUCAUAAAUAAUCUUCCAAAAGAGAGAGGAUCUGUCAAAAAAUAAUUUUCACACUAACUUACCGUCAAUUUUGAGUAAAUGGCAAAUAAAAUAUAUUAUAUAAAAAUUUAAAUUUGUGCAUUGAAAAUUUCAAAUGAUAUGUUUUGAAAUUUGAUAAAGAAAAUAGCUGCUUUCAGGUUCGGAUUUUCAUGUUUGGUUUCAGAUUUUGAUUUUUUAUCGGGAUUUGAAUUUGUAAAACCAGUCCCGACCAUUGGCAUCCCUAAUACCACCAGGUCCACCACUCCUGCCCCGUUGUUUGGUACUUAGAAAAAAGAGAUUUAUUAAUUCAAAACUUAAAAAAAUAUAUAAAUAAUUUAAAUAAAAGAGAUCUUCUAUAUAUAUAUUUUUUAAUACUAUCAAAAUUAAUAGUGCGUGCAUUGACUAAUUUUAUUCAAUUUAUAUAAUUCUAUGGCCUUUUUUAUAAGCAAUUUAUUCUGUAAACUUAUUUUUUAAAAGUUUUACAGCCGAAUUUUCAGCUAAAUUCAAUAAUAAUUCUAAUAGUAGGAUCCAUUAAAGAUAAUUAUGAUAAGGUGCAGCGGACAAUUAAUAUAAUUUUUGAUGCAGAGGGUAAAUGAGACAAGACGUAAAAUGCAAUGGACCUUUUUGUUAUUUAGCCAAUUACUUUAGUGUGAAUUAAGCGACUGGUUUUAUUUUUCAAUUUCCAAUAAAUUACUUUAGUUAGAUAUUGCACAUGCCUUCACUGAACUCACUGAGAAGGUGAACUAGUGCACGGCCUGUUUGGAUUAGGGGUGGCAAACCAGUUCGCUAUUCGCGAGCCGGCUCGUGUUCAGCUCGAAAUAAACUCAAGAUCGAGUCAAUCGUUUAGUAAACAAGCCGAACACGAGCUGAAUUUUUCAACUCGUUUAAUAAACAAGCUGAAUACGAGCUGGGGUCAGCUCGUUCAUGUUCGGCUCGAUAACCGCUCAAAUACAUAUAUUUUAUAUUUAUAUAAUUUAUAUUAUAUAAAUAAAUAAAUAAUUAUAUAUAUAAUAUAAAUUUUUAUUAUUUAAUUUUUAAUCCAACCUAAAUAUAAACUCCAACUUAAUUAUAAAAAUGCCCAUGUAUAUGUAAAGUUUCAACCAUUAGAUCAAAGCUUGAUGAAUACGAUCUCAUAAAUUUAUUUUUUAUAUAUAUAAUUUUUAAUCCUUUUAACUUAUUGUUGGUGAGCCAGGUCAUGUUCUGCUCAUUUAGCUCAUGCGAACACGAGCCGGCCCAGCUCGCUCGUAUUCGGCUAGUUGACACUCCUAGUUUGGAUGAAGAGUAUAAUUUAAUGCCUACAGUGACAUGCAUACUGUUCAUUUCUCAGAAAUUAGAAAUCUUGUAUAUAGAAUACAACAUCCUAAAUAAAAAAAAUCAUAACUAUUAGCAUUUUGAAAGAACCUCAAGGAUUUUUGUUUUUUUACAUUGCAGUUACCAAAAAAAAAAAAAAUCUGGAUAGCGCGUAAGUUAUUACUGACAAUUUAUUCAAAUAGUCAAAUAAGGAAUUACAUACACGAUAGUUUCCUCCCAUGAACAAGAGAUAGAAUAAGUCACAUAAAAUCUUAAUUCACAUUUACUCGAAUAUCAAUUACCUAUUUUCAUAAAUAAAAAUUUUCAUAUAUCUCAAUAAGGCCCCCAAAAAAACAUGGAAUUAUUAUUAAAUUUAAAUUCAAAUUGGAAUAAGAAGUAGUGGAAUACAGAAUUGGAUUUUUUUUUUUUUUAUUUUUUUUUUUUGAAAGGAAGGUAUAAGCGCAAAUGCAAAAAAUAUUAACAAGUGACAACAAAUAGGUUCAGCAUUUGAAAUACAAAAUAGGGUGACGAAGAGAAAGAAGUAAAGAAGGAAAAAAAAAAUAGAAAUAAGCUAUUAACUAUUUACGGAGGCUCGCUUUUUUUAGGAUUUUCUUGUUAAAUUAAAUUUGAUGGUUUUACUUGCGCAAGAAGAAAAUUGAGAUACGGGCCAAACUACAAGAGAGUUUUCUUAUAUAAUUGCGCAUAAUUAAGAGACCACAAUCCAUGCAAUUACUUGUAUGUAAUAUUUAACUUCGAAGAUGAUCAGCAGUUGCACUGGUAUGUCAAAAGCACUUCAAUAAAUUUACUAAACACAAAAUUCGUCUCACAUAUAAACUUGCAAAGAACAAACAUAAGAAUGGACAUUAAGACCCGCAAACAUCAACACUUGAUUUUCUUAAUUUUUUUAAGUGCCAGUGUAUUGAUUGCAAUACCUUUCUUCAUUUUUUUGCUUGUUGAGACGAAUAUUAGUGCAAUAUUCCCAAAACAAAAUUGCUACGGGAGCCCCGCAACACUUCUGAUGAAGUUUAAAUCAUCAGCAUCCAUGGGAUUGCUCCAGUCGAUGCCCCGACAUUCUUGGAAUGUUAAGCGCUCGGCGAGAACUCGCGGAACAGGCGAUUGAGUCUCAUCGAAAUUUUCUAAGUACACAUUCUUGAGAUUUGGAAAUGCGCCAGUUGGGAUAGAAGAUAGCAGCAGCUCAUUGUUAGCACACAAAUGCAGCACUUGGACGGAUGGAAAAGAUGAGGGCAGUACUUUCAGUUUUGGACAGUCUUCUAGGCUCAACCAGUACAAACGAGGAAACGAUUGUUGCCCUGACACUUCACACCAUUCCUCCAACCCAGUCAUGUAUUCUAGUUCCAAGCACCCCAAUUCUGGGAAUGCACAAUCACCGGUACCAUAGAACUCUAAGCCCAGGCUCUUGACUGCAGAGAGAGAUCUGAUAUAUAGGUAGAUAAGAGAAGGCAACUGCCCGAGCGACGGAAGACGCUCGACAGCAGGAAGCAUGCAGAGAUGAAGGAACUUAAGGUUACGCAAUUGACUUAUUUCUGGGAGGAUCUUGCAUCUGAAACAAGAGUUCAAUUGAAGAUGAACAAGAUUUGGAAGGCUCAACUCCAACCAUUUUGGAAAAAUUUUGCCCGGGUAAUGAAAUAUCUCCAAUUGGAUCAAAUUUUCGUGUGGUUGCAGGACCUCGAGAACUUUCUCGGCUUGUGCAAGUGCUUUGAUUACAUCUUGCCUACUUUUUCCUUGUUGGUCGGUGUGCACGCAGGCUUUCAUUUGCUUCUUGUAAGUAUCCAGGUCCCAUGACAACGUUAGUGACUUAAGACCAUCCUUUUCUAUUAAGUUAGCCUCCCUAGCCUGUUGGAAACGCUUCACAUUUUCCAGCUUACUAAUACGCAGUUCCCCUUCAAGAUUAAGCCCGUUGAGCUCCCUGAGGCCACACUCGCUCUUUUCACUAAGCACAAAGAGCGGUAGUUCUCGAAGGCGGCUUAGCCGUCCUAUUCCAGAUGGCAUGCCUGUUAAUUUAUAACAAUUACCUGUGUGAAGAUUUGUGAGGCUUGUCAUGUCUUUCGUGUUCUCCGGGAGCUCGAGUAGAGAGCUACAGCCUUGUAGAUUAAUUGAUCGAAGACCUGAGAGGCAGCAUAAGCUUUCAGGCAACUUCUCUAUUUCGGUAUAUCCGAGGUUUAAGGUCUGCAAACUCUUUAAAUGACCAAUGGAAGUUGGUAGGGAAACAAAUCUCACACAACUCUCGAGGUUCAAUGUUAACAGGUCGGAGAGGUUACCAACGGAGUGUGGCAAUUCUUUUAAAAAUCGACAUCCUUGCAGGUUCAAAAAAUGUAGAUUCUGCAAGAAACCAAUAGAUUGUGGCAGUGUUUCAAGGUCUGUGUAUGACAAAUUGAGAUACCUUAGGUGUCUAAGAUUACUAAUUGAAAUUGGUAAUACUUUGAUCGGGUAGCGGCUGAGAUGAAGUGCUCUUAGAAGCUUCAUACUAGAGAAAACAAUUUGAAGAAUCUUCAGCAUCAUAUCUUCCUCUUCUAUCUGCACAUCAGGAUGUGACCUAAGGAAGUAAAAGGUUCUCAACUUUUUAGCUUUAUUGAGGAUCUCCAAAGUCGAUGGUGUUGCCUCUUUUGUGUAGAUAAAUGAUGAAUAACGUGUCAUAGGAUGAAUGUCUCUUCUAUUACCAGUUAUGUCGAUGCUUGAACAUUCUUCACCUGAAGUAGAUUGGGCGAGAUCAUGAACUAGGUCAUGAAUUUUGAUAUUGUUUGACCAUAUGGUACUUCUCUCGGAAAGUGAUCUUGCUAAUAGCUCUCGCAAAUACUGGAAACCCACCUCUUCCAAUUUCACGCUCUUAUUAGAUGACUGAAUGAAACCUUCAGCAAUCCAAAGUUCUACCAGAGUCGCAUCUUCUACAAUAGUAUCCUUUGGAAAAAUGGAGCAAUACGCAAAGCAUCGCUUCAAGUGUGAGGGCAAAUGCUUGUAACUCAACCUUAGGGCUGGUAAAAUAUCAUUCUCUUCUGACUUCCAACUAUCAUUGUCUCGGACAGCCAGCCAUUCACUUUCCGUUCUCUUAGAACGCAUCAAGCUACCCAAAACCUUUGCUGCCAGCGGGACACCGCCACAUUUUCUCACAACUUCCUUUCCAAUGGUAACCAAGUUUGGCGUCUUCUCGCAAGCACCUAUCCCAAAUGCUCUUCUCUCAAACAACAACCAACAAUCAUCAUCGGAUAAAGUCUUCAAAAAGUGUGGCUCCACCGUGGUUAGUAUUGAGGCAACUCCACUACUACGGGUGGUCACUAUAAUUUUACUUCCCGUGGCACCAAUAGUUAGCAAAGUCCUAAAUUUGUCCCAUUUCUCAUAACUUUCACUCCAUACAUCAUCCAGCACGAGCAAAAAUCUCUUUUUCUCAAGCUCUUGUCUUAGUUUAGACCCCAUCGACGCCAUGCUUGUGAGAUCGCAAGCAUUUCCCGUUAUAUGCUCUAUUAUUGAUCUGACAAGUCUUUUAGGAUCAAAAUCAUUAGAAACACAUACCCAUAUUUUCUUCUCAAAGUGGUUGCUUAUUUGUUGAUCAUUAUAGACUAAUUGCGCGAGCGUCGUCUUACCGACCCCUCCCAUCCCAACAAUUGCUAUAACCCCGAGAUCACCUCCAGACGUGUCCACAAGAUAUUCAAUGAUCUCUUUCUUAUCUUCUUCCCUACCAAAAACUUCCGAUUCAAGUACGAAAGAGCUAGUUUCUUCUCUCACCCCGUACUCUUGCCUACAGCACGUUAAUACAAAUCUCUCUCGCAAAUGAAACUUAGAUCUCUCCUCCGCAAGCUCAUCUAGUCUCUCCCUAAUCUCUCUAAUCUCCCUAGCUAUCUUUAACUGAGUAAUAAUUGAGCUAGGCAAUGAUAGCACUUUACUUACCGUUCGGUUCAUCCAGCUACUAGUACCGCUUUCCGGAUCAGUUAAACUCCUCUUCCGGUUCUUGGCCAAGUCCUCGUCCAGCAGAUCGUCGAUAUCGUAGGCCACAUCUUUGAGGCGUCGCAGCCACCCUCUGAGAGCUCUCUCCUGCACUUGCCUCCCCUCCGCAUCCUCGAGCACGUCGCGGAUGACGGAGAGGGUGCCCGCCAGCUUCUUCAGCUCGGCGCCGACGUCCAUCAGCUGACCAAACUCGUUUGUGAUUCGGUCCCUCAGUCUGUCCAGCAGCGAGUUCAGGACGUCCGAAGCCACUACGUCUGCCAUUUUCUCUUUGAUGAUUCUAUUCUUUUCGUAUCAAUCAAUCAAUUAAAAAUUAUCUGUUUCAAUGUAAUAUAUAAAACUGCAAUAGUCAAAUCGAAUGAAAUUAAAGACGAUUAAAUAUCUGACGAAUGAAGGAACGUCCGCGGUAGAAGAACAGGACUAAACGAAAGGAGCAGAGGAGACCAAUUUUUUGCAGUGAAAAUGACUUUGACUUGAGGAUCCUUGCAUGUUGGUGGGUGAUUGGCCUGAGAAUAUAAAAAGUCGGAAAUGGAAGGCGAAACAUCAUCACUCUCACAAGAAAAAUAAAAGGGAAGCCAAAGGUCAUUCUGAGGUUGACCUGAUCUGCCUGCGUACUCUUUCUGCAAUGUUUUGAUUAGGACUUUCUCUAAGACGUGUGGUUCCAAAAAAAAAAGUUUAGAAAAUAACUCUUGUCAUUUCAAAAAUAACAGAUAUUCAGUUAGGACAACAAUAAAAUUGUAUUUGUAUGCACUCCGAUGAGGGUAAAAAUGCCCCACCUCAACUAAGGAACAUUUCAGCAUUGACCUCUUGACUCCAAACUUUUUUUUUUGUUUGACACACUCUUUUGACUUCUAAUAUUUUUUUAAAAAACUUUGUAGUUCGUUAAAUUUAAAAUCUUCAUUAAAUAGUUCAAUUAACUAUGGCGAUUAAUUAAUUUAAUUUUACUUGCUAUUAGAUGAUCAAACUUAUUAAAUUUAAUAAACUAUUAGUAAAGUUAUUAAACUUUCUAAUUUGUUUGAUUAAAAUGAGCAAUACUUUAAUACUCCGUUUUAACGUUAGUUGCUUAUUUAGGGCUAAAAUUUAUGUGUCAAAAAAGAUGACUUGCUAUUCCACAACCAGUACUGUUCACCAAGUAUGUGAAACUAGAGGGUUUUAGAAAAAAAAAAGAGCCAAUAUUGAAAAGUUUUGCAUACUAUAGCUUUGAAUUGUGGAGAGAAUAAAUUUUUUAUUGAAUUAUCGAUUUUGAAAGUCGAUUUUAAUAACAAUUUGUGAUGACGUUGGGUCAUAAGUUUUAGUGAUUUAUAAUUUAAAGUUAAUUUUCAAACACAAAAACUUUAUGUUUAAAUAGUUAAUAAAAUUUAUUUUUUUAACUAUAAUAUAAAUUAAAUCUAAAUUUAAAAUUUAAAUUUGAUUAAUAUUUUUGAACUUUAAUGCCGUUUUUCAAUAUUGAAUUAACAAUUUGAAUUUACUUUAAAACAUAGAAACCUUUUAUUUAAAUAAAUAAUAAAAGUUGGGUUUGUAGGUAUAAUAUAACUUAAAUUACAAUUUAAAAUAAAUUAAUAUUGUUGAACUUUGAUGUUAUUUUAAUAUUGAAUUGACAAUUUAUAUUGAAAUGUAUUACUCAUUUAAACAUAAUUUUUGGCUUUUUCAAAUUUUAUUUAAAUUUAAAUUUUAUUUUGAUUUUAAUCUACACAAUUAUAAAUAUAAAGUUUAAAUCAAGUUAAAUUUUAAAUUUGAAUUUAUAAAGAUUUCUCACUUAUCAAAUUAGCCAUAACUAAUUUGGUAAAUAACAAAAUUAAAUUAGGAAACGAAAAUUUGGUGGAUAUUAUCAAAUUUGGUUAUUGGCUAGUGUAUAUUUUUCAAUAUUGCUUUUUACGAUUGAUUUUGAUUGGUAACUAGCUUGUUGAGUAGGUUACUGUUAUAUAAAAGUCAAUCUUAACCUUAAAAGACAAACAGCAGAUUUAAUUUGACCAGUGUAUUAAAGCAUUUUUUUUAUUAAAUUACUUGAUUUGAAAAAAAAAAAAAAAUUUAAAGGGUUAUUAAUUUUUUAAAAAAAAUGAAGGGCAAUUCCACAAUGGCCUAUAGUAGAGUGCAAAGGGUCUCCAAACAUUCUAUUGGAUUUUUAGAAUUAGUUUUUUUUUUUUUUUUAAGAAGACAACAGAGAUAAGGUAUUAACUAUUUAUGAAGUUGAAUUUGAUGGCUUUCCUUGCGCAAGAAGAAAAUUGAGAUACGAGCCAAACUGCAAGAGAGUUUUUCUUAAUUGCGCAUAAUUAAGAGACCACAAUUCAUGUAAUUAAUUGUAUACAAUAUUUAACAUCGAAGAUAACAAGCAAUAGUUGUAUUGGUAAUUCAAAAGCACUAUAAUGAAUUUACUAAAUAUGGAAGUCGUUACAAACAAACUUGCAAAGAACAGACGUAAGAAUAGACAUUAAAACCUGCAAACAUCAACACAUUUCCUUAUUUUUUAUGGCUAGUAUAUUGAUUGCAAUACCCUUCUUUUUUUUUUUUUGGGUUGUUGAGACGAAGAAUAAUAGUGCAAUAUUCUCAAAACAAAGUGCUACGGGAGUUCCGCAGCACUUCUGAUGAAGUCUAAAUCAGCAUCGUCUGCGGGAUUUGUCCGGACAAAGCCCCGACAUUCUUGGAAUGUUAAGCGCUCAGCAAGAACUUGCGGAACAGGUGGUUGAGUCUCGUCGAAUUUUUUUUUUUGAUUAAACAGGGGUAUACCCUAUUUGAGAAGAAGAGGUACAGAGUCGAGAAAGGCAAAAGAGGAAGAACCCAAAACUGGAUAAAGAGGGACCAGAAAAGCUAAAUAAGACCAAGCAAAUCUCUACAGAGCUAGAAAAGCUAAAUAAGACCAAGCAAAUCUCUACAGAGCUAGAAGUCCGCACCCCGGUUUGCAGCGAGUGAUCCGCAGCAACACAGUUACCAGAGCAGCCGCGGUAGUAGGAAGGAUCUACGUCCCUAGCGCCUUUUGUCGCGGUAGACACGGCAGUAGUAGUAUCUACGUCCCCAGCUUCCCUGAAGCCUCGUUCCACAGCCGCACUGUUGCGAUAAUGUUCCGGCCCAAGGCUCUAUGAUGGCAGAGGAGAUUAUCAAACAGUCAGUCGCCUAUUCCGCUCGUUCCAAAGUUCCCAGCAGCAUGCAGAGAAGACCACAUCGAAAAGUGCCCGUUGCGGACUUGAUAGAGAAAUGCUAAUUCGGCUCCAACGAUCCCCCAGCUUCCCAGUUGAACUGGCCAAUAACUGUUGAGUCCAAGUGCCGGGUCCGAGCAGGAACAUCCAAAGAUCUCUAGCAUAGGGACAGAGGAAGAGUAGAUGUUCUAGCGUUUCAGCCUCGGAAAAACAAAGGACGCAGAUGGAGGGCCCAUGCCAACCUCGCUUGGUGAGGAAAGAAGCAGUGAGGAUUCUAUUCCUUGCCGCAAGCCACAGGAAAAGCUUGACUCUGAGAGGGAUCUUAAGCUUCCAGAGGAAAGCUAUUGUGGAGUUGUUAACGCCGUCGUAAGUCAAGAAGGCAUAAGCGCUUCGGACCGAGAACUUACCGGAUUGGGUCCAGCGCCAAGAAGGAGAGUCGUCGAUGUUGUCCGAGAGCAAGAACGAGCUGGUCAAAGUGGCGAGGUGUUGGAGCUCGAUAUGCUCUAAGAGGCCGAGGGGGGCAGGAAAUCCCGUGUUUACACAACCGGCGAAGCGACUGUACCAAACUGCGAUCGAGAGGUGCCUGUGCUUAGCCGCAGCAAAGAGAUUAGGGAAACGAUCUCUAGGGGCUAGGCCUCCACACCAGCGCGCAUUCCAGAACGACGUUGCAAUUCCAUCACCGAGUUGGAAGUCAACGGAGGUGAGAAAUGGCGCUGCAAUGGAGAGAAUAUCGCGCCAGAUGGGGCAGCAAUCUGCAAGCUUGGGCGCACCCAGGGAAGGAGCCAUGCGCUUGUAGUGUUUCUGCAAAAGAAGACGAACCCAGGGUAGACAGCGUGAGUUGUAGAAAUUCCAUAGCGUCUUCAUCAAUAAGGCGACAUUCAUGGAAUGGAGAUUAUGAAUGCCGACACCGCCAUAUCGCUUGGGGCGACACACUUCGUCCCAUUUAACAAGGCAAUGGAAGCCAUUCUGGAGUAUUUUCCCCCUCCAAAAAAAUCCCCGGCGAAUUUUAUCAAUGGCUUUAAUAACCCAAGAAGGCAAAGCAAAGGCGGAGCAGAAGAAUGUUGGAAUGCUAGUGAGCGUCAAAUUAAGCAGAACAUGACGUCCACCUCUCGAUAGCAUGGCACCCUUCCAGCCGGCAAGGCGGUUGUCCACUUUUUCAAUCAAGGGGAGGUAGUCAGCCUUACGAAGUUUCUUCGGGGAAAGCGGCAGGCCCAAGUAGGUAAAAGGGAAGCCAUGCGUGGAACACCCAAAGAUAUCUGUCAGGGCUGAGGUUUGAGCAUCAGAUAGAUUGAUAGGGAUGAUGGCGCUUUUCUGAUAGUUAAUCUUCAGGCCAGAGUAUUCGGAGAAGGCGUCGAGAAUAAGUUUAAUAGCCGCAGCGGACCUACAGGACCCGUCAAAGAACAGUAGUAGAUCAUCAGCAAAUUGUAGGGUGUGAAGCUUGGCGUCACCAAUUCCCAAGGCCGUUAGGGAAUUCGAGGUAAAGGCUAAUUGCAGCAUUACCUUGAGAUUUGGAAAUGCACCACUUUGGAUCGAAGAUAGCAGCAGCUCAUCGUCGGCACACAAAUGCAGCCGUUCGACAGAUGGAAAAGAUGAUGGCAGUACUGUCAGUUUUGGGCAAUCCAGCAGCCUCAACCUGAGCAGACGAGGAAAAGAUUGUCGCCCAGCUGGCGCGUCAUGCCACUCCUCCAACUGGGGCAUGUAAUUUAGUUCCAAGCUCUCCAAUUUUAGGAAUGCACCAUCACUUGCAGCAUAGAAUUCUGAGCCCAAACUCUUGACUGCUAGGAGAGAUUCGAGAUGCAGGAAUAUAAGAGAAGGCAGUUGUCCGAGCGGCGGAAGAGACUCGACGGCAGGAAGCUUCCUGAGAUAAAGGCACAUGAGGUUACGCAAUUGACUAAUUUUUGGGAGGGUCUUGCAUCUGAAACAAGAAUAUAACUGAAGCUGAGCAAGAUUCGGAAGACUCUGCUCCAACCAUUGCGGAAAUGUUUUGCCCCAGUAGCCCUGUAUACGCAAUUCCGUCAAAUUUUCGUGUGGUUGGAGGCCCUCGAGGACAUUCUCGGCUAGCGCAAGUGCUCUGAAUAGAUCUUGCCCGCUUCGUCCUGCAGGCUUCCAUUUCCUUUUUGUAAGUAUCCAGGGACCAUGAUAACUCUAGUGACUCAAGACCAUGCUUUUCUUUUAAGUGAGCGUUCCUUGCCUGAUGGAAAUCCUUCACAUUUUCCAACUUAUUAAUACAUAGCUCCCCUUCAAGAUUAAGUCUACUGAGCUCCGUGAGGCCACAAUCACUCUUUUCGGUAAGCACAAGGAGCGGUAGUUCUCGAAGGCGGCUUAGCCGUCCUAUUCCAGAUGGCAUGCCUGUUAAUUUAUAGCAAUUACCGGUGUGAAGAUUUGUGAGGCUUGUCAUGUCUUUCAUGUUCUCCGGGAGCUCGAGUAGAGAGCUACAGCCUUGUAGAUUAAUUGAUCGAAGAUCUGAGAGGCAGCAUAAGCUUUCGGGCAACUUCUCUAUUUCGGUAUAUCCGAGGUUUAAGGUCUGCAAACUCUUUAAAUGACCAAUGGAAGUUGGUAGGGAAACAAAUCUCACGCAACUCCCGAGGUUCAAUGUUAACAGGUCGGAGAGGUUACAAACGGAGUCUGGCAAUUCUUUUAAAAAUCGACAUCCUUGCAGGUUCAAAAAAUGUAGAUUCUGCAAGAAACCAAGAGAUUGUGGCAGUGUUUCAAGGUCUGUGUAUGACAAAUUGAGAUACCUUAGGUGUCUAAGAUUACUAACUGAAAUUGGUAAUACUUUGAUCGGGUAGCGGCUGAGAUGAAGUGCUCUUAGAAGCUUCAUACUAGAGAAAACAAUUUGAAGAAUCUUCAGCAUCAUAUCUUCCUCUUCUAUCGGCACACCAUUGCAUGAUUUAACAAAGUAAAAGGUUCUCAACAUUUUAGCUUUAUUGAGGAUUUCUAAAAUCAAUGGUAUUGCCUCUUUUUUGUCGACAAAAGAUGAAUAACGUGUCCUAGGAUAAAUGUCUCUUCUAUUAUUAGCUAUGUCGAUGCUUGAACAAUCUUCACCUGAAGUAGAUUGGGCGAGAUCGUGAACUAGGUCAUGGAUCUUGAUAUAACUUGACCCUGUGUAAUUUUUCUCAAAAAGUGAUUUUGAUAAUAGGUCUCGCAAAUAUUGGUAACCCACGUCUUCCAAUUUCACACUCUUAUCAGGUGACAGAACGAAACCUUCAGCAAUCCAAAGUUCGACCAAAGUCGCAUCGUCUAUAAUACUACCCUUCGGAAAUAUGGAGCAGUACGCAAAGCAUUGCUUCAAGUGUGAUGGCAAAUGGUUGUAACUCAACCUUAGGGCUGGAAAAAUAUCCUUCUCUUCUGACUUCCAACUACCAUUGUCUAGGACAUCCAACCACUCACUUUCUCUUCUCUUAGAACGCAUCAAGCUACCUUAAACCUUUGCUGCCAGCGGGACACCGCCACAUUUUCUCACAAUCUCCUUUCCAGUGGUAACCAAGUUUGCCGUCCUCUCACAAGCACCAUUCCCGAGUGCUAUUCUUCCAAACAACUCCCAACAAUGAUCUUCCGAUAAAGCCUUCAACAAGUGUGGCUCCACCAUGGUCAUCAAUAAGGCAAUUCUUCUAUUGCGGGUGGUCACAAUAACUUUACUUCUCGUAGCACCAAUAGUUAGCAAAGUCCUAAAUUUGUCCCAAUUCUCAUAAUUUUCAUUCCAUACGUCAUCCAGCACAAGCAAAAAUUUCUUAUUUUCAAGCUCCUGUCUUAGCUUAGACCCCAUCGACGCCAUGCUCGUGAGAUCGCAAUCAUUUCCCGUUGUGUGCUCGAUUAUUGAUCUGACAAGUCUUUUGAGGUCAAAAUCAUUGGAAACACACAGCCAUAUUUUCUUCUCAAAGUGAUCGGUUAUACGUUGAUCAUUAUAGACUAAUUGCGCGAGCGUCGUCUUACCGACCCCUCCCAUCCCAACUAUUGCUAUAACCCCGAGAUCACCUCCAGAUGUGCCCACAAGAAAUUCGAUGAUCUUUUGCGUAUCUUCCUCCCUACCGUAAACUUCCGAUUCAAUUACAAAGGGGCUACUCUCUUCUCUCACCACAUUCUGUUGCCUGUAAAAUGUUACUGCAGAUCUCUCUCGCAAAUGAAGCUUAGAUCUCUCCUCUGCAAGCUCAUCUAGUCUCUCCCCAAUCUCUCUAAUCUCCCUACCGAUAUUUUUUUAUUUUAUUUUUUUUUUUUGAGAAAUAGGUAGCUUGCUACCUGCUUCAUUCAUUAAGCAAAAUGAACUAGGCUUACAUAUUGGAGGUAGCCAGGGCCUCCGAGGCGAAACCAACAAUUACAAAGAAGAAAAGAAAAUCUAGACUACCAUAUAGCUACCCUUACAACUAAGAUACGAAAGGGCCCUAUAGCAACCCUUACAAAUAAGAUACGAGAGGGAGAAACUCCUCAGUCCGAAGAACUGGUUACCUGGCCUCAAUCCAAUCUGUGAUCAAAGAAGUGACUCGUUCAAGAACCCGGAUAGCAUUAAGGCUCCCCUCACGGAAGAUCCUGUUGUUUCGCUCUGUCCAAACCACCCACCAGAUUGCCGCCAAUCGGGUUAGACUUUUUGCUCUCAACUUGGCAUUGUGGAUGUUACCUAGAGGGUUGGAAGGCAAAACUCCUCUCUCACGGGGGUAAACUGAUCCUGGUCAACUCAGUACUUUCGAAUCUACCGCUAUUCUACUUCAGUAUAUUCAAAGCGCCGCAAUGGGUGCUGAACCGUAUAGAAGGCUUGAGAAGAGCGUUUUUCUGGAAAGGUAGUUCGAAAAUUACAGGGGGCUCAUGUCUGGUGAGUUGGAAACUAAUUUGUAGAAGCAAAAAAGAAGGGGGGCUAGGAGUCAAAGACAUGGAAGCAGCGAAUACGGCUCUACUAACCAAAUGGUGGCGGCGCUUCUUCAAAGAGCCGAAUCAGCUAUGGGGGAGGUUGAUUAAAUCUUUAUAUUAUACCAGAAGAAGGCUGUUAUAUGAGGGAAGAGCCUUCCGACUCCACUCCCAGUGGUGGAGAAGUGUGGUGAGAUGUCGAGAAGUGUUCAGAUGUGGUGUUUCGCACGUGCUCGGCAACGGGAAAAAUAUUAGGCUGUGGUCUGAUAUUUGGAUUGAAGAAACCCCUCUCAGUACUAGAUUUCCAGGUAUUCAUUCCAGCGUUGCCAACAAGGAGGCCACAGUUUCAAAAUGCUGGAAUGAUAAAGGGUGGAGAUGGCGUUUUAUAACCAGAACCCUUACUGCGAAUACAGACAGCGACGCCCGCCGGCAGAGAACUUUGCUCAAAAAUCUGAUUGCUCAGUAUAGUCCAUCGGAUGCACCAGAUCGCUUUACGAGUUCAUCACUGAUGCAGGGCAGAGAGACUCCGUCUACGUUCACCUCUGGAGGCUCAGAAUUCCGGUCAAAAUCAAAAUUUUUAUUUGGAUACUUCUCCGCAAGAGAUUGCUUACCGCAGACAGAAUUAUCCGAAGAGGGGGUCAUGUCGAUCCGUAUUGCAUUUUUUGCGCUAUGAUAGCAGAAACCAGUGAUCACCUUUUUCGGGAGUGUGUAUUCGUCAGAUACCUUCUACUUUGCACGGGAGUUGCAGACAUAAGCAGAUCGGAAGUAGGGGGUGCCAGGAGGAUAUGGGCUGAAUCUCCCUACCGAUAUUAAACUGAGAAAUAAAUGAGUCAGGCAAUGAUAACAGGUCACUUACCGUUUGCUCCAUCCAGUUAGUAGUUCUGCUGUCCCGAUCAGCUAAACUUCUCUUCCGGUUCUUGGCCAAGUCCUCGUCGAGCAGAUCGUCGAUAUCGUAGGCCACAUCUUUGAGGCGUCGCAGCCACCCUCUGAGGGCUUUCUCCUGCACUUGCCUGGCGUCUGCGUCCUCGAGCACGUCGCGGAUGGCCGAGAGGGUGCCCGCCAGCUUCUUCAGCUCGGUGGGGACAUGCGUUAGCCGACCGAACUUGUCGACCAUUCGGUUCGCCAGCCUGUCGAGCAGCGAGCUCAGGAUGCCCGGAAGCCACAACGUCGGCCAUCGUGUUGUGAUGAUUAGGUAAUUUCUUUCCCUGAUCAAUAGACAAUAACUGCUUCUCCGUGGUUUCUGUGGUGUAUUCUACAUCACUAACAGUUGACUUGACCUUGUGAGUCCCAUAUGGAUGGUACACACUAUGGACACAAAAUUUAAGUUUAAAAAUUUUAAAAAUUUAACUUGACCUCGUGAGUCCUUUUUAAAAAUUUAAGUUUAAAUAUUCAGUCAAGUCAAUGUAUUCAUUCAUCAGGACUGGAUGAGUCAAAGAUGUUGUCACGCCCGCCAUCUGACGACUGAAAAUUCCGACGAAAGUUAAAAUUUUUCUCUGGCUAGUAUAAAAAAAGAGACUCUCUACUGUGGAUAACCUACUUAAAAAGGGUUGGGCAGGUUUCAAUGAAUGUGUCAUGUGUGGUAAUGAACUGGAGACAGUUGACCACUUAUUGGAGGAGUGUGAAGUCAGCAAGUUUCUUUUUCUUGCUAAUAUAAAAAAAGAGACUCUCUACUGUGGAUAACCUACUUAAAAAGGGUUGGGCAGGUUUCAAUGAAUGUGUCAUGUGUGGUAAUGAACUGGAGACAGUUGACCAUUUAUUGGAGGAGUGUGAAGUCAGCAAGUUUCUUUUUCUUUCCCUUCUAGAAGCGCCCUGCGUCUACCCAUCAUGUGAGGAUGUCAAGUUCUUUUGGAAAGAGUUGGUAAGGAGGGGGACAAAGACGGACACUUUGAAGAGUUGGUGAGGAGGGGGUCACCUUGCGGCGGGCAUCUGGUGGACGAUUUGGUGCGAAAGAAAUAAUGUUAUUUUUCAAAACUUACACAUGAAUGCUAUUUCUACUGCUCAUCAUAUUAGAGCUCUAGUGAAAGAGUAGACCGAUUUUUGCAUAGUAGGGUGACGUUGGUUGUUAUUCUUUGUUGCUCCUUUUUUGUUAUUCUUUUAGUUUUUCUUUUUUGUGCUUUUCUCCUUUGUUUAGUCGCCUACAUGAGGCCCUAGUUGCCUCACCUUAUGUAGCUAAGUUCAUUUACCUAAUGAAUGAAACAGGUAGCGUGCCACCUCUCUCAAAAAAAAAAAAAAAAAAUGUGUGCAUUGCACGAGUCGCUAGAAUUCACGUACUUAGAAAUGCCAUUCAAAUUGAAAUUAUUUUAGACAUUUUUUUCCUUCCCUAUCAUCAAUUAAUUAAACUGCAAUUAAUACUUGGAAAAAAGAAAAAGAGGAAACAAUCCUUGAGUAAACAAGAGGGGAUAAAUUUACUUAGAGGAAUCGCACCAGCAUCCGCACACAUGUACAAGUGUCACAUACCUCCCAAAUUUAUUCAUCCAACUUAAGAGUAAUUUUAUUAUAAGAACUAUGACAUUUAACGAUUACAUUUUAACAGAAGUUAAAAAAAAAAAAAUUACACAUUUGGUUCUCAAAUUAUACGACAGAUCAUACUUUAGUCCUCAAAUUUUAAUUUAUUAUAAUUUCUAACUCGAACUUUCAAAAUUGUUUCAAUUAAAUUUCACAACUUAAUUUAGUUGACAAAAUAUUGACAAAUUUCUUAUAUAAAACUGAUAUAGCAUCUUACUGGCGUACAAUCAAUUACAAUACUACUACAUCAAUUCUACAUUAAUGAUUCAUCAAUAUUUAAUCAACCAAAUUAAAUUACAAGGCUUAACUACAAUAAUUUUAAAAUUUCGAAUCAGAAAUUAUAAUAAAUUGAAGUUUGGAAAUCAAAAUGUCUCCGGCCUUGUAGUUUGAGAACCAUAAGUGCAAUUUACACACACACACACACACACACACACAAAAGAAGCUACAAAAGAUAUAUUAUUGUAGCAAAUUUAAAGAGCUAGCUCUACUUAUAAACUGGAGCUUUAGUAGCCAUUAUGGCUUCUUUCUUGGCAGUAAAGAAGGCAAGAAGCCUUUCUCUAGCAGGUAAGAACUCCUUCACAGCAGGAUAGUUCACAUAAUCUUCAACCCAUCUGCAUAAGUUUGGGUGCUUCUCUUCAUUGAUCAAGCUUAUUCCUGCCACCUCCUGCAACACCCCACACCAGUGAGCUAUAAAACUCGCGACUAUGUCGACGAGUCCGAUCGAGUCGCCGCCGAAGAACCUCUUCCCUUUGAGCUGGUCCUCAAGAAUGUUUAGGUUUUCGGUCGACUGCGCAAUGAAGCCCUUCUGCGCCUCGCCUUGGGUCCAGCAGGACAUCCACAAUGCUAGUGUGCACUAGGCACAAAAGAAAACAUGCAUCAGAGCUUUUCAAUCUACUAGUAAGAUUGGAUUUUAAAAGAGUAUCUUGGGUAUUGAAAGAUACGUUUAAAAAUUUUGAAUAGUAGUAAAGAAUAAAUAAGCAAAAACUCUUUUUGAACAGCAGUUGGACCAAAUACGCUAACGUAGUUGUACUAACUCGAUAUAUUGAAUCGAUCUCGAAGCAUCUCUAUAAGCAAUUACCUUCUCGUCGAUGAACUUAGCCCAGAAUCGCGCCAUUGCCUUCUCGUAAGGAUCGGCAGGCAAUAUAGGAUGCCCUUCGAAAGCCUCCUCGAUGUAUUCGAGAAUAACUAGCGACUCUGCGAUCGGCUUUCCGUCGUGGAGGAGCACGGGGAUCUUCUUAUGGAUUGGAUUGUACCGGAGCAGCAACUCACUCUUGUUCGCGAGGUCCUCUUCGAAUGACUCAUAGGAAACUCCCUUUAACCGUAGCGCGAGCUCGACUCGAAAGCUAAAGGGGCUCCCCCAGGCGCGGAACACCUUAAGUUCCUUAGCCAUUUUGCGUCUUUCCUUAGCUUAUUGAACUUCGACGAUCUUGGUUUUUUGUUUGCACAAUGUAUGUGACUUUUUAUAGGACCUAUACAUGAUCUACCAUUGCUUAGAGAUUAAGGUUCUUGAGAAAGUUUCACAUUCAAUGUUAGCUAAGAAAUCUUAUUUUGGUGUUUUUUUAAUAUUUAAAGUCAAAGAAUCAGUCUACUUUAAAAUGUGAGCUCAAUGGAAUCUCUCAUCAGUGAAGGGAAACUUCAUCAAUAAGUGAUUUUUUUUUAAAUUGCUCCAAAUAAUUUGGUGGUAUUACAUUUUCUUUUUCUUUUUCGAAAAAUGUAUUAUUUCAUUGCAUAUAUAUAUAUUAAAAGCCAUGCUAGCUGUGGUAACUGGUGAGGUCCUGCUUGUGGUCAGAUUCUUUUUUUUUUUAUUCCUUUUGUUUUUUUUUAUGAAUAAUUGAAUUAGUCAACUGCAGCUUAUUUCAUCUGCGUGCGCUAAACAUUAUUGAUCAUAUAUUUAAUUGAUGAAUGUUCUCGAAUUACAAAAUUAAAGAAGUAAAAUCAGAUGUUAAAAUCCACAAAAUUGUAGAAAGUUCGUAUACUUAUUUGUAAUUACAGUAAUUUUGAAUAGUACAGUACUAAAGUUGCAGCCUAAGGAAGAGAUGACAACAGAGGAACAGCUAAGUAACAAAAUUAAAUAAAAAAUUUAAAAUUUAUAGGAUACUAACAAAUUUAGUAUACAUUACUAAUUCUUUUCCAAUAUUGUCAUGUUAACUAACCCAAAUUGGUAACCUGUUCAGUACGAUUACUUUAUGAAACUCAAGUAGAUAACUCCAUUACUAAUUAAGAGCUAGAUUUUAAUAUUU
RNAcentral lists this long non-coding RNA (49118 nucleotides) under Ananas comosus (pineapple). RNAcentral's name for it is "long non-coding RNA (ACOM_LNC007710)". The record is from RNAcentral. Lineage: Eukaryota; Viridiplantae; Streptophyta; Magnoliopsida; Poales; Bromeliaceae.